GGGACCCUGACUUCCGUGAGACUGACCCUACCAGCAAGGAAAAAGACCGGUGACAGUUGUGGCGGUAGUGGCGGUGGUGGCCCAGAAGAUUUCCGGUGGUUGGCGGUUCGGACAAAAAAAAAUUAAAAUUUACAAAAUCUGGCUCUUGUCAAUUUUACAGGAGAACCCCUGGAUGAGGUGGUGAGGCAUGCAUGCUGGGGUGUUGAGAAAUAGGGAACAAUCGCUCUAAGGAUGAGAUUAUCCUGUGCCCAAACUAAGCAUAUGCGAGGGGCUAUUAAAUUCGAUUUGAGUUUUUUUGGCCAGCAUUUGGCUCUUUGCCCAUGUGAAAACGUUUGAUCAAUUGGGGAUUGGAAAAAACAUAUCGUUGAUGUGCUGAUCUGUUGGGACUUGGAGCAAAAAAGACCACCCCUAUCCAAGAUAUUUUCUUCAACUUUACACUUAAACGUUUUGGAAAAACAAGGGGAAAGAGCAAGAUCGAUUAAAUUGCCACAAGAUGUACUGUUUGAUGUGAUUAUUGGUUUGUAUAAUUUACAAGGUGGUAUGGAUCAUGCUAGAAACAAUCGUUCACUCGAUAUGAAAUUUGGAAAAUCGUUUAUCAGUUUGAUUAGAUAUGGGAACACAAUCAGACACAUACUUGGUCACUAAAUUUGAGAAAUUUGAGAUGAUUCGACAAUUUAGUACGACAUUUUGAUGAUUUGGAGUGGGCUGGAGUACACUGUGAGUCCGUGAUUGUCCUUACCAGUCCACUAUAGUCAACCCUUGAGUCAAUAUCUCUCUAUAAUGGAAUUAAUAGUUAGCAAUCACUCAUGAGUAACAUGCACUAGAAUAGCUCGUAGUCUUACAAGGGGCAUUGGUUAGUCGAAAGACAUAACAAAGUAAAACACCCCUUCAUUAGUUUCAUUAGUGAAGUUGCUUACUUAUCACAUAAACAACUGUUCUUAGCAUUCUUAUCUUUUACAUUCACUUAUCAUCAUCAUUAUCAUAUGAUUGUAAGAGGGGGAAUUUAAUGGGUAGGUUUUUCCACUAACUUGGAAUUUGUAUGGCUGAGGUUCCCAAAAUUAAUCUUAUUGUUAUGAUUGAGGCACUUGAGGGACUCAUCAUGUUCUUGAAUCAUCCACAAAACAAAAAGCAGUGGAUGUGGCUGGAUAAGAAUUCUCUUCGGAUCUUGUUUGUGAGGAUUUUGAAAAUCAUUUUAUCCUAUUUGUUCAUUGUCUAUUACGUAAUCGUGAAGUACUAUUUAUAUUUAAUUUUAAAUAAAAUAAUUCAAAAUAAUUUAUAACCACAAGAUGACAAAUUAACGGACAUGAUAAAGUAAUUCUUAAUAUUGAGAGGAUUCGGACAUGAUCUUAUUCCGACGUGGCCCCAUCCAAUACAUUUGACUUAAAAAUGUUAUAGUAUUAUUUGGGUUGGCUUUUCUUCACCUGAGAAGAUGUAAACUUUUCUUGCCUUCGUGGCUAACUCUGUUCAUUUGUUCGGUAACUGUCAAUGUUGUUGGAGCAUGAAAAUCAAUCAUGAAAAUUAAAUAUGUAAAGGAUAAUCUUUUUAUAUAAAUAAUCAGCAAACUUCGUCACUGCCUACUUGUAUUUACCUUCAAAGAACAUAGCAAUAGUGAGAUUAGAGAAUAAAAUAAUAGAAUUAUGAAUUUCUUGAUCACCAAAAUGAGUUAGAGAAUGUAAAAUAAGAAGUUAAUUACAAUCAAUUGAUUAUAAAAUACGAGGACGUAUUGAAAAUGGUGAAUUGCGCGGGUGGUUAAGGCAUUUUUCUUCAAUUCAUUGUGCAUUAUAUCAUAUUCUCUCAUAUUAAGGUAGAUUAGUGUAGAAUAUCGCUUGUACUUUAAAAAAAAUAUUAAAUUAUGUUUGGAUAAGGGAUUUACAGUAAAUUAAUUAUAAAUUCACUAGACUAAUUGAUCAUGCAAAAAUAACUUACCUAAUUUUUUGUUAAAAAGAAAUUAUUUAAUUAACAACGAGGGAGACUUGAACUCGAAUGCAAUAAGACGACAACAGUGCCUUGGCCGAUAGACCAAACUCACAACAAUAAUAACCCAAAGAAGGAGUUUGAACAAGAACUCACAUGUCUAACAUCAUUGUCCGGCGACCGGAAUUGUGCCUCAUGGUGUGCUAUNUUUUAGGGAAAUGACAUUUUUACUCUAAAAAGUCACUCAAAGUUUUCAAACCAUUUUUCAUUAGUUUUCCUUAUAUCAAAUGAAGUUUUAUCGUUAAUCAUUUUUUUUAGAAAAAUUAAGAACCCCUAUUAAUAAAUGUGAAUAUGUGCAAGUGGCCAUUUACCAUAGUGAUGGAAAUGUGUUGAGCCUUUGCAUGACGGCAUGAGUUUAAAUCCUGUUAGUGACUAAUCUAACAUCUAAUCUAACAAAAUCUAUCGUUUGACAAUAAUAAUAAUAAUAAUAAUAAUAAUAAUAAAUGUGAAUAUGUGCUACUAGUUAAACAAAUAAGAUGGUGGCAUUACCAGUUAAAUUUAUCUUUAUUUUUUAUGAAUGAAUAAACUUCCACAAAUUUGGGGGUAGUAAUUUUGUUGUCAUAGGAGGACAACAAUUUUACACAAGCAUAGUGUAGAAUUUCAAAUAUGCUUAAGCUCAGACAAAUAACUGAAAUCAUUAAUGUUAUAUGUAUGAAAAGUUCAUUAAACAAACAUGCCCAAAGAUUGUGGUUUUUUUUUUUUUGGUUCCUCCAAAAACGGUUCUAUAACACUCAUUCUCCUUUCGAGCGCUCUUCUUUCGUAUAAUGGUUUUUCAGAAGUUUCAGUGUGUAUCAUUGAGAUUUAGAUAAAAAUCAGUAAAGAAUUUGAACGAUUAGGUUAAUUAACUUUUGUGCGCUUUUUAUGUUCAUACAAUACGAUAUUGAUAUGCUUCAACAUGAACCCUUGUAGUUUAGAUUACGAUGAAUUAAGAUUACAGUUCAUAGCCUUAAUUAGGCUUGGCAUUUUGGACCCAACCCGUUAAUAUUUGUAUUUGGGUGGAUGCUUAACGGGUCGGGUCGCUAACGGGUGAACCCGUUAACAACUCGUUAAAUAACGGGUCACUUUGGGUCAACCCGUUAGACCCGUUAGGACCCGUUAGCACCCGUUAGUUGAUGAUAUUUUAGUAAUUUUAGUAAAGUCUUAAUAACAAAAAAUAAAUUUUAUGCAAAAAAAUAAAUAAUAAUACUAACAUUAAAUAAUGAGGUGGGAAAAUACUAAAGUUGAUUUUCACUAAUUGACGUUUUUAAAGUUCUAAUCCCCCAAAUUGACCCAUUUUAGCCAAGUUAAAUUGUAAAUUUGCUUAGCUACAUGACGUCAAUUUGGAGAUUCAAAUCUUUGUAGAUGACCUGAGAGUUAAAACAUGCUUAAUAUUUGUCAAUGUCAUCACUGAACGCUAGUGAACCUAAUAGAUGAAUUUUUCAAAUGUUUAGGUAGUUAUUUGGAAUGUUUUAAAAUGUUAAGACAAAUUUGAAAUUGCGCCUAAAGGCUGGGUAGUUAGUUAUCUGGACUUAAUCCAAAUUCACCCAAAAUUUUAUUUUAAGAGAAUAAAAUGAAUUUGCACGAGUAAUUGGUAUAGCCGCACUCAGGAUGACUCUUAGUCAUCAAUAAAUUUGGACCUCUUUAUGAGAUUCAUUUCCACGAGAGCGUGCAUAUCUCAAAGUCACCCAUGCGACAAUCCUUAACAUUUCUUUUGCAUCCCAAAUCUGCUGAUCACACAAACAAAAAAUAAAAAGAAUGUAAGAGUUUAGGAUCCAAAUUACUUAUGCUCUUUCAUUCAACCCAGAUAUCCAGAAAAAUAAUUCAGUCACCGAUCAUGUCGUUGAGUUUAAGGGUUUUGGGGAGGGUGUGUAAGAGAGAGAGAGAGAGAGAGGGAGAAGAUGCUUUUGUUUCUUAAUACCAUCUCCAAAGGAAAUCCUUAACAUUUCUUUUGCAUCCCAAAUCUGCUGAUCACACGAACAAAAAAUAAAAAGAAUGUAAGAGGUUAGGAUCCAAAUUACUUAUGCUCUUUCAUUCAGCCCAGAUAUCCAGAAAAUUAAUUCGGUCACCGAUCAUGUCGUUUUGAGUUUGAGGGUUUUGGGGGGUCACAGAGAGAGAGAGAGAGAGGGAGAAGAUGCUUUCGUAGAGAGGGAGAAUAUGCUUUUGUUUCUUAAUACCAUCUCCAAAGGAAAUGUUAAAUUAUAAGAGUUAGAUUACAAUUGAUGGCUGAUGUGACAAUGUAAAGCCUCAUAUCAAAUUUUACAAUUCUCCAACCGAAUUGUCAAAUGUUAUUUUAAUAUUUAAAAAGAGUUUUAAAUGAUUGUAAUUAUUAAAAAAAACAUUGAAACAAAAUUUUUAUUAGUUGAAAUGUUAGUGGAACAAGGAACCCACUAUUAAAAUGAAUUAAAAAUAAAUUUGACAUUGAUGUCAAAUUUGAUAUUAAAUCACUAAGCUUUCAAAUCCAAUCAGUAAAUAACACUUUGAUUGGAGAGAUUUUUAAUAUCAAAUAUGCACAGUGACAUACCUUCUAGAAUUUUGACAUAUUUUUUAAAUGCUUUUACUCACAGGUCUUGACGCCGUUUUAUAGUUGAAAGACCGCAUUCAUAUUUACCAAAAUGCACUUGGACCGCACACCAAAUUUCAGAGAUAUUGCUCUAACUGAAAUUGGCGUUCGUUACAAAUUUCAUUGUCAAAAUUACCAAAAUGUCCAUCACACAAUGACCAAAUUAACCUCAUUUAUACGUUGGUAUCGUGUAGGGUAGUUUUAGAGUUAUAUCAAAGUAAAUUAAACUGUCAUUACUUAAUUACAGAGGAAGGUAAAUCCUGCAUGCUGACUAUCAAUAUGAACUACGAAUAUUCUUUUGGAUUAAAUACUUGCAAUGAUGGGGAAAAUUGAAGUUGCUGGAUCUAAUAUUUGUAGACAACUAUUAAAUAUAACUUUUAUGUUAACAAAAUUCUUCUUCCUUUUUAUGUAAUUUGAGUCUUAAAAUAAAAGUAUUUGAGUAUAAAAACCUUAGGUGUCCAAACUCAUAUCAAUGAUAAAUCAUCGCGACUGGAACUGUCUAGCAGCACGUGUUUUGGAUGAUCAGUUUGACUCCAACUUCUACUGCUAAUAGUUCGUUAAAUAGAUUGUAUAUGAAAACGGCCCGACAAAAUGGAAUUAAUGAUGAGAUUUAAAAUGAUAAUAAAAAGUUAUAUAUCGACAAAUUCUAUCUACAUCAUAUGCGAUGUUAUGAAAUUUAACUUUAUCACUAUGAAAUUUAGAUUUUGAAUUGUAUUAUGUAUUCACAAUAGACGUACGUAACUUAUAAGUUUUAAAAAUAUUAGAGUUGCACCCUACACACCACAACAUCAUCGAUUUGUAUCGAAUAGCAAGUAUAUAUAUUAUAAUUGAAAAUCAUAAAAUCGUACUAAAAAUGGUAAAUAAUGUACAAAAUGAUAAGUGAUAAUAAUACAAAAUAAAAGGUACGAGUGUGAUAAAACAUAAGGGGUACAAUGGUAAAAGAGUCUAGAUAAAGAGGUUGAGAAAUUGGAGGGAAAAAUAUCAAACACAGAAAGUAACGGAGUUGACAAGUAGGCAAUAACGCCUUCCAACAAAAUGCCAGAUUUUUAUUCACGUGGAAAUGCCGUUUUAGCAGUCAAGCUUCCAGAUCAGCUCGUACCGUUGGAUUCCAUAUCUGGUGCAUCCUCCUCCGUCCAUCUAAUCCAUCCAACGGCGCCAAAUGCACCAACAUAUUAGUUUCGUGGUUUGACAGAAUGUCCCUAUAUUUUGACUGUUAAUUUUUACAGCCGUUAGAUCACAUAAAACAAAUAAUAUAAUGGCUCAAAAUCAUUAGAUUAUACAAAACUAACAUUCUUCUCCUCAUUGCAGCCUUCAGAUGCCUCAAAGAUCUCCUCUAUCAUUUUUAAAAUGAAAAAACCACCUAAUACGAAUUCGAGAAUAAUAUAUAACCGGAUUGCAACUAUGCACGUACGAAUUGAGUCUUGAAUUAUUUUAUAGGUGAAGACGGCGGUUUUACUGACCACAAUAUUGAAAAACAAUGUGCUCGAAACCGAGGAUGAAAUUAUGUUUUAAUACACCUUAUCUAGUUAAGAUUUGUUUUAUAUUUAUUCAGCACAUGAUUGUUCUUUUUUCUUUUUGAGAAGAUUCAUUGUUUUUAAUUUCAACGGAAUCUACGUGUAUUCGAUUCUUAGCUCCAGUAAAGAUAGCGUUGUGAAGAAUUAUCUCACAACGAGGUUUGUAGAGUUUUUAUUUUAUAUUUUAAUUUUUUUUAAUUUUAAUAUAACGAUAUAUUUAAAAUUAGAAUAAACAAAGAGUUGCAGCCCUUCAAUGUGCUCUCUACUUUUUGUGCGCUCGUUGACCACAUGUUUGUAAUUAAUGAAUUUUAAUUUGUUCAACGACAAUGCUAUAUGUUGUGGACAUAAAAAUGUAGUAUUAAUAAACAAACACACAUGAUAUAAUUUGAGUGAAUUUAUAAAAUUAUGUGAUUGCGUGACUAUUACACUAGUUAGUAAACAAAAUAAGGCAAUUGAAGAAAAAUAAACAAAAACACUCUGCAAGAAUUUUAUUUCUUGAAUCAUUAGUGACAGCCCAAUGGGUUAUUAUAACCACUAAAAUCUCUUGCUGAGAGGUUUCUAGUGACGGAUUAUUAGCCACAAGAUUGUCACUCAUCCUAUCUUCGAGGUGGAGCGAUGAUCACAGAUCACCAAUCACCAUUAACAAUUUGAUGGGAUAAUUCUGCAGAAUUUUUAUCAUGGUGGAGGAAGUACUUUUGAGCAUGACUUACAACUUGUGUUGGGGUUAUUGUCACAACGCAGAGCCUGGAAAUGCUCUUCCAGUCUCUCUUCCCAUAUUCCUGUAAGCCCUUCAAGAACAACCUGACCAAAUCAUGGCCAAAAUUUUCAAAAAUAACAUAAAAAUUGAAGAUUAAUUAAUAACCGUGAGUUAUGCAAUGUGUUCUCGUCCUAUAUCUCACAAAUUAAAAUAUAUAUUAACAAACUGUAAAUCUAAACCACACAUUUAUAAGGACUUACCUGUGUUCUUCCUCGGUGCUUUGUUCUAAUCAAGGUUCUAAAAGUCGCUAGGCGCUAGUCGGGCUGGGGCCUAGCGCCUAGGCGGCUAGGCGGAUUUAAGUAAAUCUAUCAUAUUUCAGGUAAAUAAGUGUCUGCUUCUACUUGAAAUAUAUAUAAUUUCAUCAUAAACUACAAAAUAGAAUGCAUAUAUAUCAUGAAGUAUUGGAACAUAAUGAAAACAUGUGAAAUAAGGAUAUAAUGUUUGUUCAUUCAAGUAUGCAACAAGUCUCUUACAAUUUAUUGGAAAAAAACAAAAUGCAAAAUGAAAGUUAUGUAUUUUCUGUCUAAGUGAGUUGCAACCUAGGCGGGUCUAGGUGGGUGCCUAGGCGGGUGCCUAGGUGGUCUAGGCGGUGGGCUGGGGCCUAGGCAUUAAUCGGGCCGAUGGGCUGGGGCCUAGCGCCUAGGCGGGGCUGGAGCCUAGCGCCUAGGCGGCGCUAGGCGGAGAUUUUUAGAACAGUGGUUCUAAUCGAUGAAAGUCUCGUACUUGGGUACCGCUAUACGACCCGACUCGAUCAUCAAAGUGUCCUCAACCAAUGCUUCCAAGUGCUUCUUCACUUGCUCAAUAGUAAUCUCAGACCUGAACAACCAUGCAGUAGUAAAUCUUUGUGCCAAUUUUGACCCACCAUACAAAAUACUUUCUUUAGUUUUUUUUUUUUUUUUUUUUUUUUUUUUUUUUUUUUUUUUUUUUUUAAAUUCUCUUUCUUUAGUAUUUUAAUCUUUGAGUUUUGUUCUCAUUGAUUAUUUGAAAGAAAAAAAAAUUAGGCAGUUAACAGUUACCCGCAGGAAGAGGGUUACAUGUUGUGUGUGGUUCGAAAGAGGCACUCAAGGAAUUUCAGCAAAACUUUAUGGAACCUGUUAAAACCCAAAAGCACUUACUGAGAUUGUUUCUUCUCAGAAGAUAUGUACAUUGCUUUGAGAUCAGAAGAUAUGUACUUUAAUUUCAUGGUUUCUCUCUCUUCUUGAAAGGUAAUUUCUUUCUUUCCAAGAAAGCAAAUAUAUAUUCAAAUUUGGCAUUAAUUUCUAAUUAAAUUAUAUAAAUUUAAGGUUGAUGCUACAAAGUCCAAGAGUUUCUCUAUUUCUCUGCUGAAUUCCCUUCUGGGUUUGAAAGGUCCUCCUGUUGUUUGUGGCAGCAGAAAGAAUGUGGGGAGCUGUUUUUGUAGCCAUUGCUGCUGCGACAGGAAACUUGUUGCAAGGAUGGGACAAUGCAACCAUUGCAGGUACUAUUUCUAUGAUGGUUCUCUUAUUCGAGCGACAUUUCAAUCUAAUUUAAACUACAUAAGAGAGAUUCGAACUCGGGUAAAUGCUAAUCUAAGUAAUAAGUCUUUGAGAUCUCAUUUGAGGAAUGAAUAAUUAUCUUCUUUUGCAAAUGAUUGCACAUAUCUUUAUUUAAUUUGAGUUAUGAUAGUUGUAGGGUUUUCCUCGUCAACCCGGAAAACGUAUCAAAAGCAGGCAUUGAGUUGUGUGAUUUGGGGCUUAGUUAGUAUGGAAGCUGUGACAUUUACAAAUCAUAUUUGCAGGGGCUGCUUUACAUCAAAAGGGAAUUUAAGUUGGAAACCCAACCGACAAUUGAAGGGCUUAUCGUAGGCAUGUCUUUGAUCGGUGCCACUGUCAUCACAACAUUCUCAGGGCCAGUUUCAGACUGGCUAGGAAGACGUCCAAUGCUGAUAGUUUCAUCAGUUUUAUAUUUUCUCAAUGGUUUGGUAAUGCUAUGGGCUCCAAAUGUCUAUGUUCUUCUUUUGGCAAGGCUACUAGAUGGUUUUGGAAUUGGACUAGCCGUUACUCUUGUCCCGUUUUACAUUUCCGAAACUGCCCCACCCGAAAUCAGAGGGCUACUGAACACUCUCCCACAGUUUACCGGUUCGGGAGGGAUGUUUUUGUCAUACUGCAUGAUGUUUGGAAUGUCACUGAAGGAUGCCCCCAGUUGGAGAAUGAUGCUUGGAGUUCUUUCUAUUCCUUGGUUUAUUUCGGAUUGACUCUGUUUUACUUGCCGGAGUCUCCACGGUGGCUUGUUAGUAAAGGAAGAAUGGCUGAGGCUAAGAAAGUUCAGCAGAGACUACCUGGACAGGAAGAUGUUUCAGGUGCAUAAAGUACUGCAUUUGAAUUUAUGAAUGCUUAUGUUUUCGGUGCUGAUAUUGUGCUUAUGUCUAAAAGUAUAGCGGGUUUUCACCUUUUUCAUUUUUUGAAAGCUUAGUUUUUUAGGAUUGAUUGAUAUGAAGGUGAGAUGGCUUUGCCGUUCGAGGGACUUGGUGUUGGAGGGGAAGCAUCAUUGGAAGAGUACAUAAUUGGACCGGCUAAUGAGGGCAGUGAAGGCCAGGAAAUGACUUCGGAUAAAGAUCAAAUAAGGCUGUAUGGACAGGAGGAUGGGAGGGCUUCAAUGCUCGAGGGGAGGGCGUCAAUGAUUGCGAAAUCUGUCACAGGACAAGCCAAUCUUGGCUUGAUGUCGCGACAAGGAAGCUUGUUGAAUCCAAACGUGCAUUACGUGGAUCCUCUUGUGAAUCUAUUUGGCAGUGUUCAUGAGAAGCUUCUUCCCGAAAACACAGGAAGUAUGUGCAGCCUUCUUAAUUUGCAGAACAUGGGCAGCAUUCUCAACAUGGGCAGAGUGCUAAAUGUGGCGCUGCGUGGACGCCAAGACAAGAUGGAGAAUUGGGAUUUGGAGGGGAAUGGAAAUGCAGCUGAUUUUGAGGACAAUGUUCGAAGGCCAUUGCUCUCAGGUCAAAAAUCAGCAAGUAUGGUAAAUGACAUGAUGCCUAGUAAGUCCAAUAGCUUAUUUGGCAUGAGGCACAAUAGCAGCCUCAUGCUGGGGACUAGUGGUGAAGCUGUGAGUAGUAUGGACAUUGGCGGUGGCUGGGCGUUGGCUUACAAAUACUCUGAGAAGGUUGGAAAAGAUGGAAAAAAGACAGAAGAGUACCAAAGAGUCUAUUUGCACCAGGAGGGUGCACUUGAGUCUUGACGAGGCUCAAUGCUUUCAGUUGUUGGCGGUCCUGAAAUGGCUCAAGACAACGAAUAUUUUCAAGCUUCUGCUCUGGUUAGCCAACCUUCUCUAAUUUUCAAGAGGAACCAACUGAGUCAACAUCUUGGAGAAGGAAAGAUUGAAACCCAGGAAACUGUUGUUGAAGGAUCCGUUUGGAAGGAUCUCUUAGAACCAGGAGUCAAGCGCGCAUUGUUCGUUGGGGUGGCAAUUCAAAUUCUUCAGCAAGUACUAAUUCACGUUCGCGUAAAUGUGGUAGAAAUAGUUUUAUUGUAAUGUGUACUACACGUUUCUAAUUAAUACAUCUGAGAGUUUUGAAUAAUGACUGAUUGUUUUUUAUCUUUGCAGUUCUCUGGCAUAAAUGGGGUUCUUUAUUACACUCCCCAAAUUCUUGAGCAAGCAGGGGUGGCAAUUCUCCUAUCGGAUUUAGGCCUUAGUUCCACCUCUUCAUCUAUUCUCAUAAGUGCUCUCACAACCCUAUUGAUGAUUCCGUCUAUCGGCAUUGCCACGAGACUAAUGGAUACUUCUGGCAGAAGGUAUUUUUAUAUAUAGUAAUUCCCUUGCUCCACAAGUAAACCAUUAACUGUUCUCUUCAUCUCUUACUCGUCUGUCUUUGCCACAGGUCGCUGUUGUUGACUACAUUACCGGUGCUAACUGGCACCCUCCUAGUACUAAUUUUCGGACAACUUGUCCAUUUGGGUUCCGUUGUCAAUGCAACAAUUUCUACAAUCAGCAUUGUGGUCUACUUCUGCACCUUUGUCAUGGGGUUCGGACCAAUCCCUAACAUCCUUUGCUCGAAGAUCUUCCCGACUCAGGUUCGUGGCCUCUGCAUUGCAAUAUGUGCCCUGACAUUUUGGAUUGGAGACAUCAUUAUGACUUACACACUGCCUAUCAUGCUCACCUCGAUUGGCCUCGCCAGUGUUUUUGCUAUUUAUGCUGUUGUGUGCACCAUUUCUUGGGUGUUUGUUUUCUUCAAAGUGCCAGAAACAAAGGGAAUGCCGUUAGAAGUUAUCUCUGAGUUUUUUCUGUGGGUGCAAAGCAGGCAGAUUGAUGAAAAGUUGACUUGAUAGUCGAGGAAUUGAUGAUGUUGUUUUGAGUUUUGUUCUUUGUUAUAUUCAUAUUGAUUAUCCUGUUGUUGUAUAUAUAAUCUUUGGAUAUGUGAGAUUCUAGCUAGUCAUCUCUUGAAACGAACUAUCGGUUUCGGUGUAUAUUUGAUUAUAUUUCUAAUGUAACUCUAAACGUCUAAUUAAGAUGUCGUUUUACCAACUAGUUAUUGGUUUCUCGUGCCAAUGUUAAAAGAAUUCCCAAGUUUAAGCAUGUUGGGAUUGAGAUGAACUAGGUCCAUUUCUUUGUUCUUUGGUAGGCCUUCGAUCCGCCCCACAACCCAAAAAAAAAAAAAAAAAAAAAAUCAUGACAUUUUAAUAUGAACGAUAUUGAGAAAGGAGAAUUGAAACAGAGGACCUCAGGCGCGAGAUAUUUUUUCAAAUACCAGAUAUUUAAGGAGAAACUAAUAUAUUUUUCAGUGUACCUCCACUUAUAUUAUGAUAGAUUGAGUACUUGCUUAAAUAACAAGGGAGGGGAGUUGGUGGGAUGGAACUAACUCCAAAGUGAAUACACAUGAUUGCUUUAUAUCAUCGCAGUAAAGCACCAUCUCCAGCUUUGUUGAAUGCCCAUUUCUUCAUAUACAUACAUAUAUAUAUAUAUAUAUAUAUAUAUAUAUAUAUAUAUUUGCCAUUUAACAAAGCUAUCGAACGAGGGAGUAAGUAUUCUAGCGGUGGUUGUUAGCACUCUUUUUCCGUGCCAUUCUCUAUUUGUUUUUACAAAAGAAGAAUUAGAAAACUAAUGAAAAGCAUGUCACAAACUUUUUUCAUAUAGAAACACUUAAUUAACUUUCUUUACUGAUUAUGACAAAACGCGGUGGCAGUAUCAUAAUUAUAUUAAAUUUGGAUGUGGUAGUAGUUUUGUAAAUUUUCAAAUGACUCUUUAUUACAGUGGUAGAAAACAAUCAUGCAUAUGCAUUUUGGUGUGGUUCAAUCCCACUGCUCUCCUCCCCCUAACAAUUAACAAUUUAACCCAAUAACGCUAACGGUUGUCCAAAAAAUAAGAACCUAACUUUUUUUUUGUGGAAAAUCUACGUGGUACAAAAGAAUUUUAUUAAUCAAAAUGAAAAAAUUACAUCUAAUUUGGAGGAUAUAAAUCUCAUCCCUUAAAUUCAAAGAAAAAGAAAUAUAGGAAAAAAAAGAGGGGAAAAGAACCUUACCUCUCUAAAACAUAAAAAUAUUACAAGAAAAGAAGAAAAUAUAAAUCUUAUCCUUCUUGAAACAGAAAAAUAUUAUAAGAAAGAUGAGGAACAUUGUACCUAACCCAUCUAAAAUAAAAUAUAAAAGGUAAGAAACUACAAUAAUUGUCAAUUUAAUUUUGUGCUUCAUUUUUCCUAUUUAGAUCUCUAGCAAGCGACUCAUACUUGACUUUGGUAAUUACUAGUGCAUUUUGGAUAGAAACAUAGAUAAAUAUUCAAGUACACUUUUUGUUAAUGUCGUGUAUUAUUGCUCUAUAUUUGUGUUUUUACAUUCUUUUCCACAAUUCUCUGAAAUAUAGCAAAGAAAAAUGUGUGAUUUGUUUUUAAUUGUUAGCUAUGAAGCUACAUUAAUCAACAACAUUGUUCAUGAUGGAAUUAUUAAAGUUGCACCAUAAAAAGGCAUGCGACUCAAUAUUUUAGUGAAUAUGGUGUUAUAUUUUAUUCAUGCAUCUUGAGUUCAAAACUUUUAAUUUUCUAAAUUAUUAUAAUAGUUUCGAACUCUUGUUCCAUUAUCCAAAUAAUAGUAACAAAAAAAAAGAAAAGAAGAAAAAACAAACUUCUGUUUAUUAUAAAGGGGUAAUUUUGGAAGAAUGGCUGGGUGAGAGUAGAAGCUCUCAUUCCUAAAUAAAUAGUUUCAACACAGUUGGCCGGCAUUGUAGAAUGUUGAUUGCUUAUCAAUUAACGCUGCCGAUGUAGAGUAAAGGUAAAGUAAAUAAAAUAGUUGUUAACAUUUGGUGGCAUGCCAUUGCGGUUAAUUUGAUUUCCAGAACAUCUGUGGUCCUAAAUAAUCAAGUUUUUAUGUAAAAGGAAUGACUUGUCAAAGCCAUUGCUUUGCAUUAGGUCUGGCAAAUGGGUCUUGUUAUUCUAGUAGUUGUUGUUGUAGUCUCUGAGAUAGAGAGAGAGAGGAAUUCAGAUUUUUGUGUGAAAGCGUGGCUGGAAAAUAGUUUGUUGGGUUCUUGGCUUUGAGUUCUUCCAAAUUCCAUGAAACUUGAAAGCAUUAAAAUUUUUGGAAUAAAGAUAAAGACCUUUGAAGUUUGCACUGCACUACACACUCAAAACCUUUGGAGUCUCCCAAGGAGUAUUAAAUUGCUGGAGAAAAAAAAAAAAGGUAUUUGAUUCUUUUAUAAAAAAAAUAUAAAUAAUAAAUAUUUAUAUUUUUUUAUUAAAGAAUGAAAAAGGGACGGGUUCAGAGUGGAUAUCCCUAUAACCAUAACCGAACCCGAAACUGAACAAUUUACCGAAUGGUUACCCAUAACCAUAAAAAAUUCAAAAUUUGAUCUUCGAAACCGAACUGUUCGGGUCGGUUACUUUCGGGAAUCGUGCUUGACGGAUUAAAUUGCCAUCUCUAGUCCGAACGCUUUGCUUGAUGUAUUUGUUGUUAUUUUUCUCAUAGAAAAGAGAAAGAGAAAGAGAAAGAAAAAUUUAUUGUCUAAGAGAAUCACUUUAUCAUGUAGCCGACAGAAAAAGAGGAAUGAUUGUAGCUGAGUUGAAUAAUGGCACACAGAAAAAAAUUUCCACCCAAAAGAAGGCUAAGGUGGGGCUGGUCAAAAAGAAAAAAGUAUCUAUGUAUGAUUUUGAAUCGUGAUGAUACUGUAAUUCUAUCACCCAAAUUUCAUUACUCUAAGCGUGUGUUUACCAAUCGAGAUUGGAAUCGAGAGAAAUAUAAUUGCACAUUUCCCAAUUCAUUCCGACGUUUACUAGCAAUUAGGGAAUCAGAAUUUCUAUGGGGACCACCCAAUAUCAGGAAUUCAAUUCCAGAAUUGCCCGGAAUUGGAUUACCUCUAUAAAGGUAGCAUUUGAGUUCCGGGUAGAACACUCCAGGAAUCAAAUUUUGUACCCAAAAUACCCAUGAAUACUCCUAAAACACCUCUACCUUCAUAAAAACCAAAACUUUUCAUUCAGGCAAACCAAAACACCAUAUUUCUAUCUUCCCCAAAUAGCCAAACAAUCAAAGUUUCCUGCUGUUUCUAGAAAACCAAGCCUUUCUGCAUUCACAGCACCCAAGAAGAAGAAGAAGAAGAAGAAGAAGACGAUGAUGAAGAAGAAGAGAAAUCAAUGAACCUGAAGCAACUCACCGGAAGGGGAAGAAAGCCCACGUAGCUACGGUGACGCGAGAAAAUGCCGAGCCUACGUGUUCUCUCUCUCCUCUCUCUCUUCUGUGUGUGCAGAGCAGAAUAUGGAACAACAAUGAUGUAGAGAACCCGUGGGUUCUAGAAAGUUGUUGGGAGACUUAUUUCAGUGUAAAAAAAUGCACCAAUAUUUUCCAACGGUGCUAGCCAACCAAUAUUUUCUAAGGAAAACUAAUGAAAAGGGCUUGAAAACUUUGAGUUUUAAUGAUAAGGACAAAAUAAAGGGUAAAGUGAAUAGUACCAGGAUUGACUUUUUAGUGUAAAAAUGUGGUUUUUCGUUAAAGUGAACAGUACCGGGUGCUUUUUGUUAAAGUUCCCUAUUUUCUAACGGGAAUUGUUAAUAUUUUAAUAAGGGAUACUUUGGAUCCUUAAUCCUUAACAUUCUUUGAUUAAAACCUUAAUAGUAUUCAAAGUUUGAUCAAGGUCCUUUGACUUUGUACACCUCAUUAUAUUACUAUUAAUAUUUAUAUUUUUGACAUUAAUUGUUUGAUAUUUUAUAAGAUUUAUAAUCCUAUAAAUUUAAAAUCCCCUCAUUAUAAUACUAUUAGAAACGGUUACAAUAAAAAAAAUCAAUCAUUUUGAUUGAAUAAAUGGAUAAAAAAUAUGUAAAAAUAAGAAAUAAUAAAUGGCAAAAGAAUGUAUCCAUAGUGUUAAAAAAAAUUGGUACAUUUCACGUAUAACAAAGUGGUACAUUAAUAAAGAAGAAUGGGUACAUUAUAAAUAAAUUAGGGUACAAAUAAGAGAUUAAAAAAAUAUGAGUACAAAUGAAUUUUUAAAAAAUAUAGGCGCUAAAAGAAAUUAAUACAUGGGUACAAAAUAAAACUAAAAAGAAAAUACUACAAAUUUAAAAAAAAAUGUUGCAAAUUAAAAGUGGGUACAAACUAAAAAUAUAAAUAUAUGAUACAAAGUUUAGGCAUAAAACAUAAAUAUACUAUAUGUAAUUUUUCUUUCAUUGAUUAAAUAUACAAUGUCACGUGACGGUGUACACAUGGGUACAAAUACAAAUAAAACUUUACAAAAUAUGGGCACAAAAAGAAACUAAUAUAUGGGUACAAAUUAAAAAUGAAAAGAAAAUUGGUACAAAUUAAAAAAUAUUUGCAAAUUAAAAAUAGGUACAAACUAAAAAUAAAAAUAUAUGCUAAAAAAUUUAGUCAUAAAUAUAAAUAUACUAAUUGUAACAUUUUUAACACUAAAGGUGACACAUCCCGACCCGAAAUGUUCACUAGGACCCCGAAUCGAGCCGUGUUGGCCAUAAAUUUGAACUUAAGAGUGCCUAAUUACCAAAGUGCACGGUGAGCGGGUCUGGACCCAUUUCACGUAUGAUGCAAAGCAUAAGUAAAGUACAGUAGUAUGGGUAAGAAUUAUACCCUCAGAGAUAACCACCAAUGCUAAGAUUCGCCACAAAUCCUCGUCGAUACGAACUUGGCAGCUAAAACCUGGAGGGGCACAAAAAAGAGAGUGUGAAUGAGCAAUAAAACCAAUCGUCCCAAAACUAUUACCUUUCUAAAAGUAAAUACCCCUGUUUGUAAAACCCGUAUCGUUUUCCAUAAGACAAUACUACAUUUAUAUAUAAAUAUACAACUCAUAUUAAAAAAUGGGUAAAACCACGGGUAUGCCAUGUCCAUCAUUUCCACAAUGCAUUAACAAAUAGGCCAAAUGAACUUUCCAGAAAAAUAGGAUGCAUAUGUAUAUAGAAAUCAUGCUCGAAGCAGUGAAAGCCAGGUAUAUGCCAUGUCAAGUAUCUCAACAGUAAAUGUAUAAGCCAGGUGAUAUAAUUCAAUGCAAAUGAUAUGUCAGCCGGAGUCACCUAACGUGACCUGUACGGCUGAAUUUAGAGCUCAACCAUAAAGCUGGAGUCACCAAACGCGACCUGUAUGACUGCACUCAUGUCUCAUCAGUCAAUGCUAGCAUAUAAGUCGGAGUUACCUCUAGUAACAUGUACGACUUAUCCAUAUCUCAUCAAUCAAUGCUAACACAUAAGUCGGAGUCACCUCUAGUAACCUGUACAACUUAUCCAUAUCUCAUCAAUCAAUGCUAACACAUAAGUCGGAGUUACCUCUAGUGACCUAUACGAUUUAUCCAUAUCUCAUCAAUCAAGAAGUCACCUCUAGUGACCUGUACGACUACACCCAUGUCUAAUCGGUCAAUGCUAGCAUAUAAGUCGGAGUCACCUCUGGUGACUUGUACAACUUAUCCAUAUCUCAUCAAUCAAUGCAAACACAUAAGUCGAAGUCACCUCUAGUGACUUGUACGACAUGACUGGGUGUAAAUAAGUACGCUCAAGCGCUACAAUCACAUGGAAACUGUGCAAAUAAUCGCGAUUCACCUACGAGUUGGAACCACCUAAAGUGGUCUGUACGACAGGCCUGUGCACCUAAUUUGGAUCCAAGGUGAGCGUGUGGUGCGAGAGGUGAAUAUCAUAUGAGUGACUUGUACGACAUGACUGGGUGUAAAUAAGUACGCUCAAGCGCUACAAUCACAUGGAAACUGUGCAAAUAAUCGCGAUUCACCUACGAGUUGGAACCACCUAAAGUGGUCUGCACGACAGGUAUGUGCACCUAAUUUGGAUCCAAGGUGAGCGUAUGAUGCGAGAGGUGAAUAUCAUAUGAGAGACUGUGCCCUAACCACUACAAGAGCACUAACACCGGGAUGCAUGUUUAUGAGCUCUAAAUGCGUCUAAUACAACAUGUACAACUCAUAAGCAACCUGUACGACAAUGCCGGAGUUACCUAUUAUUGCAAUCUAUACGACAGUGUUGGAGUUGCUUAAAACAUAAAUGUAGUCAUACCAUAACCUCAUCAAUUCAACUGAUAUUGUAUCCUUACCCGAAUUUACCUGUGUGUCCUGCGUUCACCUUUGCACUUCAAAGCGUUCACAGUAAUUAUGUGCAAGGAAUAUACAUAUGGAAAUACCAGGAUGUAAGUCUGAAAUUCAACAUAUCAUAAUAUUUCCAGACAUAUAGACAUAUAAACAAAUGGUUUAGAAUGCAUAAACUGUAGCGCCCCACUCUCGAACUAUUUACUUUUGAGAGUAAUCAACGGUGAUAAGCCCAAUUAGACACUAGUUAAGUUAACUAUCAUUAUUUACUUUUCCUUACUUCAAUUUCUUGAUUCUUUACACAUUAAAUUAUGACCCACAUUUAGCUACUAAAACAUAGGGUCAAAUCUUACAAUUUUCCACCAAUGUCCCUCAUAUUACUCAAUUCCCCAAAACUAGGCUAUUGCCUCAAUUAUUUAUUCUCAUUUAUUAUAUGGCUGCAUCUAACGUCUCGUUAAACUGCCUACGUACCAUAAACAGGGAUCAAGCCAUUCGUAGUUCGCACUAAUUAUUUGUAGGGUAAUAUGUAUAAAUCACUUUAGAAACGUUUGUGGAACUAUCAAUUAUAUACAUAUGAUAAAAUGAAAAGAUCCACUCACUUGGAGCCCACGCUAUGAUUCACUAACACAUACAUCGAGGUGUCCUGAAUGAUUGGCUUUUAUAACAAUUAUCGAAUCACAUCUCAGAACUCUUAUCAAUAGAAUACAUAAUUCAUAUAAAGCACAUCCUUAAGGACAUUCUAAAAUAAUUUGAGAUCCAUUGACCAAAAGUCAACCAUCGGUCAAAGAUCAACGGCGGGACCCACAACCCUACAUAACUCAAUCCAAGAGAUCCGCAACUUAGAGUUCUGAUUCGUAACUUCCGAAGAUACACAUUGAGUUUCUAUAAUAACAUACUAAAAUUUCAUUAAGAUCCAACGGUUGGAUCUCCGCCAAUGACCCAAAACCAAGUGGCUGUUAACAUUUAUUUUACGAAUUUACAAAUCCAAUUCGGAAAGAUCUGUACGUUGGAUUUCCGAUCUGUAAGUUCCUAUGAUGCUCAAAUAUUACGUACUAUAACAUAUUAAAGUUUGGUGACGAUCCAACGGUCGGAUCGUCAAUGCACAUAAAUACCUAUUAACGUAUCGUAGAGAAUUUAGGCUCCAACGAUCAACCUACGUAAUCCAAAUAUCAAAACUGACUUCAAGACAUUUAACAUAGCCUUAAAAUAGCAUUGGCGGCCCCCUGGCCACGCGCCGCCACAACUCGGCGGAAAAUUCAACUAUUUUUAAAAAUUCUCAAAAAUUACAAAAUUGAAGAUCUCAAAGAGUAGAGUAAACUUUAUACCUGUGGCCAAGUCCAAUUUGGCCUAGAAAAACUCCAAUUUUGCUAAAACCCGUCGGAAACCCUAGAUUUGGGUGUGAUUCAAUUCGACCCCAUACAAGCUCCGACACCUCCACCACUGGCUGGGCUUUGUUCCUGGGUUCUAGGGAAGUCUAAUGGUGGUGGUAAUUGAAAGAAAACGUUUCACAAUUGGUGGAUUUCUAGCAAAAGUCUCACGACACCCACCUCUGGUUUUUGAACAAUUUACCACCAAAUUCCUUCUAAUUUUGAAUGGAAAUGGAAGAGGGAAGGCCAGGAAGUUGUUUCUAGGUGGUGGUUUGCUUUGAUUUGCUGGAAAAAAUGACCGAAUUUGGCCGUGGUGCUUGUCGGGUCGAACAGGUCAAGGGAAAACCCGGUUUUCCCCCUUCAUUUCUUCUUCCUCCUUUCCCUCCUUUCCCCCUUCUCUGGUUGGCCAUCCUCUUCAUCUCUCUUCCUCAUUGGCUGUUCAUUUCUCUCCUUCCUCUUCCACGAUUGGGCAGUAGCCCUUCUUUCUUUUUCUUUCUCCCGUUCCCCACUUCUUCUUCUACUUUUAAAACUAAAACAUAAAAAUAUACAGAUUACAAAAAUAAAUGUAUAAAAUAAAAUGUAUAGUAACUAAAACAAAAGUAUUUAUCGGGUUUACAGUUCCGUAAAACUUUAACCGUAACUCCAAAUUCACUUCUGUUUGCGUUUACGCGUUCGUAUCGUCGAAUACUUCAGGAAUACGCUAAAAGAAUAUUUAGUACGUCUCACUACGCGUUGGUCAAUGAAAGUUAACACCUUCACCUCAAGGGCAUUUUUUGUAAUUUCACACUUUCAAAAUUAUAAAAACUAUAAUAUUUAAGGACGGGCUGUUACAAAAGGAAUAUAUUUUAAAAAUAAAAAUAUUUUAUUAUUCAAAUAAUUAAUGAUGUUAUUACCCAAGGACCUUGAUCAAAAAUUGAAAAUGAAUAGGAUUUUAAUCAAUGAAAUAACAAAAAAAAGGAUGUGAACCUAAUUUCUCCUUUUAAUAAAAUGUGUGUGUGUGUGUGUGAAAUUGUAUUCAAAAGUUAUGAAAUUUUCUAUUAUUUAGAUUAAGGGUACUUUAGUAAUUAUAUUAAUUUUCAUUCCGAUUCAGGUGAAUUGGUAAACAACUUAUAUGAAUUUCGUUUCAUUUUUACUCCGAUUCCAGAACAUUUAAGUAAACAGCUUCAACAUAAAUCUGAUUCUAACUCUUCCUCAAUUCAAUUCCUCAUCAAUCUAAUUCCUCUAUUUUAAUUAUGAUUACGUAAACGCGCCCUAAUAUUUUAACGUGUCAGGUCUUGUUUGGUGUGAUAUACAUUUGCAAUGGACUCGUGGCAUGUAAGUUCUUUUGUUGUUGGUGUCGUGAGUUGAAAGAAAGCGUGUCGGCAACACUAAGGUAAAUCUCCGUUAGAUAAAUUGAAGUUCCAAAUUCCAAGGAAGAUUGCUCUCAACUUUAUCACAUUCACAUUGAAGGUGGUAGGAAGCCACUGCUUCCUACCAUAGGAAGAAAAAACAUGCAAAAGGCCUGAUAUAUAACAAAAGCGAAUUCUUGGUGCGAGUACCAGUCCAGCAUCCAUACUCAAUUCUUUGAAAGGCUCUUCAAUUUAGACAAGGAUUGUCUGCCCUCCUUGUUCCGGUGCCCUCUCAUGUGUUUGUGUGGUCACGAUUAAGCCACGUCAACAUUUUAUAUUACUAUUCAUUUUUGUCUUAUUAUCUCUAUAAAAAAUAAUAUAAAAUGUUGACGUGGCUUAACCGUGACCACACAAAACAGGAGAGCACCGGAACAAGGAGGGCAGACAAUCCUUGUCCCUUCAAUUUACCUGGAUUUCUCCAAUGAAAAUCAACUUGUCUCUUCUUCUUCCUUUUGCAAUCCUCCUCCUUGGAAGUACUAUGUCUUUUUGAGCUUCAGAGGAGAGGAUACACGAACCAAUUUUACAGAUCACUUUUACAAGGUGUUGGACAAUAAGGGAAUCAACACGUUCAUUGAUCACCAUCUUAGAAGAGGAGAAGAAAUAUCUCUGGCUCUUCUCAAAGCAAUUGAGGAGUUAGAGAAUUUCGAUCAUUAUAUAUUUAUAUUCUCUAAAAACUAUGCAUCCUCAAUAAUAUUGUACCGAAAUUAUGAGGAGUGAAACUUUGGAACAAAUUAAUUAGAAAACGCUUCGAGGACCCACUCAAAAAGCGACGAGUGCGAAUUAACAUAAGAAAGUAAUUAUUGGUCCCACAAAGAAAAACAGUGAAAAAAAAUAGAAUAAGAGGAUGUUGAAAAAUAAAAAAUUAUAACUCUAACAAGUAAUUAUUUACCACAGUAGUAAAAAAGAGUUGAAUCUUUAUAUAACGGUAUACAUUUGAAUUUUGUCAGUAACUAAUGUAAGUUUAAUCUAACAAAUUAAUUGUUUGACAAAAAAAAUAAACUAAACUCUCUCUCUCCUUCACCCUUUCCUCUUCCGUUUUCGUUUACUACAGUGCAUCUUUCUUUUUUCUGUUGGUUUUCCUCCUCCACCACCACCAAAUCCACCAUGAACAACUUCAAUCAUCUACAUGAAGAUGUGCGUGAAUAAUUAAAUAUUGAAAUUUGCGUGUGUGGAUUAAUCUCUUCACAUGUGUGCAAUAUGAUUUGGGCGAUGAUAAUAAGUCCACCAAGUGUUCCAAAAAAUGCCGUAGUGAAUAAACUAAAUUUUCUUAUUGAGCGGUUCCCGUUCAAUUUCUAUAUAGGAAACUUGGACCUUCAACGUUAGGACCUCCAUGUUUAUUCUACAAAGUAUUGCUUGUUAGUGCUUUGGAUUGCAAAUUAUAACUCCAGGCAAUAAAGUUUCAAGACGGUUCGGCUGUACCGGAAAGAUCGAACGACAUUUGAAAUUCCUCUAGAUAACAAGGAUGAAAGAGAGGUAAAACAUGUGUUGCUUAUUUAUUCAGCUUAGCUGGCAAUUAAUUAAUUAAAUCCAUCGAAAAAAAAUACAAAACAAAAAUUAGACAUUUGAAAGUGGGCAAAUGGGUCGGAAUGAUUAUUUCAUGUAGGAUAAUAUAAAUGAUUAUGAUCAUCAUAAUACACAUGUAAAUUCAAUCAAUUAGAUAAUACCUAAAUGUAUCAAACACAUAUAUCAAUAAAUAAAGCAGUAAAAAGGAAAAGGUAAAGAAUUAUCUUGCCUGUGAUAUCAAGAGAGGCGUGUUGUCACUGUCCUAAAGUCGGAGACGCCUCCCUACAUGUUGGUUAGAACGGCUAUCUACAACUCCAACAUACAACCGUUGAAUCUCACAGAGUGUUUAAUCCGUAAGCACGAUUACGGUAAACCGGGUGCCAAGUAGUGAUCAAUUGCCCAUUGAUGAUCAAGAUGAGUAGAAAGAUAAUAAGAAUUAUAUAUGAGUACUACUACGGAGGGAAGGAAAACAAUAUGAACAUAUUAUUGACCACUUUGUUCUGUUUGAGGAGUUCGCUAUUUAUAAAACUCUACAUAUCCCUUAAUAAAAGAUAUAACUUCUCUAAUGAAUAUGACUCUUCAUAUUUUUUAUUUAAAAUAAUAAUAAAUAAAGUUUUAAAUCUUUAAUAAAAUAAAGUAAAUAACAAACAUUUCAUUCCUAAAGGCCACAGGUGAUUACAACAUCAACAAAUAAUUGAAUACAGACAAACUAUAGUGAUCAAUCGAUCAAGGGAAAAAGAAACUCCAUGAUGGAAAAAGACACGUUCUUCCUUAAAUUAACGACCCCCACUUGUCAGUGGAGAGAAAUUUACCUACAUCAUCAGAGAUACUUUUCUUGGUAUGGCCACUUUAUUUGUAAUAUUUUUAGAUUUUUCAGCUGUCUGUUAUUAUUUUAAAAUAUUAUAAUGGUGAAUUGUUACAUUAAAGGUAAUCAGUAGUAGUUUGCAACAAAACUUCCUCUUCUUCAAAUUAAAGACCGCUAAGUAACAAUUUUAUAUUUUUCAUUCGUCAAUUAAUUGCCACAAAAGUUCAUCUCCUUCAACUCGACCACAUUUACAUUGAAAGGUAGUAGGUGGGAAAUGCUUGGUCGGUAGGAAGAAAAUCUCCUUCAACUCGACCACAUUUACAUUGAAAGGUAGUAGGUGGGAAAUGCUUGGUCGGUAGGAAGAAAAGCAUGAGGACUAAUAUAACAAGAGAGAGUCCACAUUCACAUUGAAGGUGGUAGGAAACUGCUGCUUCCUUCACAGGAAGAAAAGCAUGCAUAAGGCCUGAUAUAUAUAACAAGAGAGAGUCCAUUGUCCACACUCCAUACCAUACUGCAUAUUCCAAUUCUUUGAGAGGCUCUUUUCUUUAGUUCAUUUGUCUUUAAUUCUCUUAUGGGCAUUCAACUUGCCUCUUCUUCUUCCUUGCCUCCUUCAUGGACAUAUGAUGUAUUUUUGAGUUUUAGAGGUGAAGAUACACGCUUUACUUUUACAGAUCACUUAUACGCGGCCUUGUACCGUAACGGAAUCGACACAUUCAUUGAUCGCCAUCUUAAAAGAGGAGAAGAGAUAUCACCGGCUUUUCUAAAAGCAAUUGAAGAGUCGAGAAUUUCAAUCAUUGUAAUCUCUGAAAAGUAUGCAUCGUCAAGAUGGUGCUUGGAUGAACUCGUAUAUAUCCUUGAAUGUAGAAGGUCAAGGCAGCAAAUAGUUUGGCCAGUUUUCUACAAGGUGGAUCCAUCCCAUGUACGAAAUCAAACGAGUAGUUUCGGUGAUGCAUUUACAGGACUUGAGUGCAAAUACAAGGACGAGGAGAAGAUCCUCUUAUGGAGGAGAGCUCUCAGAGAAGCAGCAAAUUUGUCAGGUUAUACUGUCAAAGAGGAAGAGUACGUACCUUUCUUCUCUUUUAAUUAUAUGAUUCUGUAUUUUAGGUUUCACUUUCUACUACAAUAAUACCUAAUAUUAGGAGCGAGUUCGGUUUCAAUCGUUUUUUUUUUUCCUUCUCAAAACUGGAAAUCAAACCGAUAUUACUGUUCAGUUCGGUUAGGUUCUCUCGAUUCGAAUUGAAUUCGGAUUGGUUUUUUCCGGUUAGACGGGUUCAGUUCGAUUUUUUUUUUUAAAUUUAAAAAAUCUGAAAACUGAAGGAAAAACACAAUCCAAAUUCUGAAAAUUGACGGAAAAACACAAAUCCAAAUACCCAUACAUACAGAUUCGCUAAACCCAAUUCACUGUAAAACACAAACCAAAUUGGAAGGAUUUGACGGUCUAAAGCAAAAACCUUUGUGGAAGAGCCGAUCGGUGAGGGUCUGGAACAAGGUCUCGUCAAUGGCGAAAUCAGGAAUUGGCAGGAGGAGGUGCGAAAUCAGGUAGUGUCUACGAAACAGCGUCGUUUCAAUUAUCUAUUUAAAUUUUUUUUUCCAAAACCAAAAUGAUGUCGUUUUGGCCUGAAUGAUUUAAAAAAAAAAAAAAAAGCACAGUCACCCACACAUCAUCGGACCAUAGGAAGCUCUGAACCACUGAACCAGUGGGUUUUCCGGCGAGGGGAGGGCGGACACAGAAAUCCAGUCCUGUUUUCCGGCGAGGGCCGCCACUCCUCGCCCUCACGUGGCUUCGCUUGGGUCUCGUAGACAUUCUUCUCACGGAUGUGGCGGUGGAGUUGGACGAAGUUGGGGUCGCAUCCGAGGUCUGUAGAUGGCGGGGCUCCGGAAGACUAUUGGCGCUGCCUCGCCGAUGUCUGAUGGGUGCGGUUGGCGGCGAGGAAGGAAGAUGCACCCUAAACCGUCGAUGUUUUGAGGCAAUUUCUUCGUUUGCAUAUUAGUCCAAUCCAUAGGCUUUGUUUGCACUUUACUGAAUUACAUUAAUUCAACCUUUUGGGUUUAUUUAUUUAUUUUUAUUUAACAAAAUAAAAGAGGGUCGGUAGGGAAAUUGGGGUUAAGUUUGGCUUUGGACCUAAGAUUGUUAUGGUUGACUUGAAAUUGGGGCUUCAAAUAAUAUUAUAUAAAUAAAAUUAAUAAGUAUUUAAUUCGGUUCAGUUUUGUUUUGUUUUUAAUUUGGUUAGAUUUUUUUUUUUUGGUAUGGUUUAGUGCUUGGUUCGGUUUUUAUUUUUUUAUCUUUUUUUUUCGGCUUUUUGAACUCACUCCUAAUACCUGUUUAGUUGCAAGCGGAGGGAGUGAAUACCCAUUUUUAUCUUUUGAUGAACAGAAAUAUGAAAAAUUGUUGAAUAAUUAUACACGAAGAAGUUGACCCUUCUGUAUGUUAAACAUACAUGAUCAUCAUCUUCAUAUAUAACUAGCAAUUGGCACAUACGCAAAGCAUGUGCAACGACGUUCAUAUGUCACUUACACUAUAGAACCAAAUUUGAAUCUCUUAACUUUUUUUUUUCUUGAGAAAAGCCACGAAGAUGAAUCUACACAUGACUAAAAUAUGAGAGUUUCCCAACUCUCAUCCACAAAUUGUCUUCUACUGAUUUUAAGAACAGUGAAUGAGUAACAAUUAAUUAAAAUAAAAAUGUCAUAAAAUAACUAAUUGCAAUAGAAAUUAUUUCAUAAAUAGAGAAAGAGUAAAGUUUUGGGUUGAGGAUUGAGUUGAGGGGGAUGUGCGGAAGUUACCGUGAAGAGAAGAAUUGCUUUGGAGGUGGAAGUGGGGAAGUUAUAAUUAGUUUUGGACUUUUAUUUCUUUUUUUAAUUGUUUAACAAUUAUCCACAAUUGUUAUUUUGAUUGUUUGACAUGAAUAUCCACAAUUCCUAAACCUUGUUUAUAAACUCAAGUUAUGAAAGUAAGGGUAAAGUUGUUUAUAUUAUCCACAAUAAUAUAGAUUCUCUUAAUAAUAGUAUAGAUUAUAGGCUCUGUCGUUCACCAAAGCUAGCGAACGAGGAAGUGAGUGUUCUAGCUGUUGUUGCUAGCACUUCUCUUUCGUGUAAUCCUCUCUUCUUUUUUACAUUCUUUUUUCCUUUUCAAAGAUAUAUAGCAAAAAAAUUGAUUGACUAAAUGUGUCAAAUUUUUUAAUUAAACUGGUAGGUAUGAAGCUACAUUUAUCGAUAAGAUUGUUACAGAGAUCUUAGUCAAAGUACUACAACGUACACAUUUGAAUGUGGCCAAAUACCUAGUUGGAAUACAAUCUUGCGUUCAAGAGAUGAAAGAGCUUUUAGGUGAUAAGUUUCGAAUUUGGGGAUCCAAUAUUCUUCAAAAUCAUACAGUUACAAGGCAUCUUGUCACAUAUAAUAUGUCAUACAGUGACAUCAGACAAUUGAAGGGAUUUAAGGUACGUAUACUUUUUUAAAUUAAUUUGGAUGAUUCCUAAUUUAAAUGUAUAUUUUAUUUUAAAAAAGAAAAGAAAAUUUCCAAAGUUUUUUCAUCAUUAAUUAUUCUAUUUAAUGUCUGUGACUUUUGUUUUUUUUGUUUUUUUGUUUUUUUUUGGUUUCACAGAAUUUGGAAAAUCUUAAAUAUAUGAAUUUACGCGGGUGCAAAUUUCUGGAAAAAAUUCCCGACUUAUCCGGAAGUCCAAAUAUAGAGUAUUUGGAUCUUCAUGGCUGCACAAAUUUGGUUGAGAUUGAUGAUUCUAUUGGAUUCCUCGAUAAACUUGUUACAUUAAAUCUUAUGGGGUGCUCUAGGCUUACGAGGUUUGCACCAAGACUUAGAUUGAGAUCCCUUAAAAGGCUUUAUCUUCAUGGUUGCACAAGGCUGGAGAGUUUUCCAGAAAUAGAGGAUGAGAUGGAAUCUUUAAAGCAUUUGGAUAUACAAAAAAGUGGCAUAAGAGAAUUGCCUUCAUCAAUUGCAUAUCUUACUGGGCUUGCCGAAUUGUUAGCAAUGGAAUGUGAGAAUCUUAUAGGUACAUCAUUACAUCAUCUUUAUGGGUUGCAACAUCUCUCUGGGGUUUAUUUCAAUGAAUGCCCAAAACUGGUGACAUUUGGGAAGAACAAGAUGAAGUUUGAUGAAGUUUCAUCCAGCAGUACCGAAUCUCAACUGCUUUCAACUGACUUAGAGACUUCACAAGACAAGUGUAGCACAUAUGCUUUUCCCAACCUAUAUUAUCUUUAUCUUGAAGGAUGCAAUUUAUCAGAAAGUGAUUUUCUUGUGCUUCUUGAUUGCUGGUCCACAUUAACAUGGCUUGAUCUGUCGAGAAAUAAUUUUGUUAGUCUUCCGGAUUGCAUUAGCAAAUUUGUCAACUUGGAAAGACUUAAUUUGAGAGGUUGCAAGAGGCUUCGGAAAACUCCACAAGCCCUUCCACCAAAACUAUACGAGUUAUAUCUGGAUGAUUGCACAUCAUUGGAGAAAAUUUCAAAACUGCCCCCGGAGCUUCAUGUUCUGCACCUGUCAAAUUGCUUUAGACUAUGUGGCCAUGGGGUGGCAAAGUUGGAAAAUAGUUUGUUGAAUGAGGUUUGUCUCUCUUCUUAAUUACUCUUGAAAUUAAAAUAUAUAAUUUGUUGUUACUUGGGAGGGAGAUCAAAUCACAAUUGUUUGUAAUUAGUUAUCUACAUAUUAUUCACUAUUGCAGGGAUCUCUUCGGCGCUCUAAAUUGGAAGUUAUUUAUCCAGGCAAUGAAGUUCCAAAGUGGUUCAACUAUAACUCUAACCAUCCCACAACCAUUCAACGUAUACCGGCUGAAUAUGACUGGAGGAGAAAAGACUUUAUUGGAGGCAUUAGUUUUCCAGCUCCUAUAAAAUAUGAAGGGAGGGGAGAAAACUUUGUUGGAACUAGUAGUUUUAAAAUUCCUCUAAAUUUACAAGUGGGGGAUACGUUAUUAGGAUUGGUUCUAUCUACUGUUUUUGAACCAUCGAAUUUUAAUUAUUAUGUUAUCAUCAACGGAACAGAAGGCUCUAGACUAUGUACUUACAGGAGACACUAUGUAUGGCCUUGUACGAACUUGGAGGCAGCUCAUGUGGAGCUCAAGUUAGUAGAUUUAGAAAAGAAGCAGGGAGGUAUUUGUAAUGUUGAAUUUGUUUUCCGCAGGGGCGCACGCAUUAAAAGUUGCGGGGUGCACCCACUAUUGCGCAAAGAAGACGAAUGGCUUCCUUGUCUUUGGGACCAACAAGUAGUCUUGGGAAGAGGCCUUGUCCACUUGGAUCCUCAGAUACCGUCCACGAGGAAUAUGAUCGGCAACGACAAUGGCUUUCCUUAUCUUCGAACCCGGCGGAUUGAUCUUAAUGUUCCUUUUGAUAUUGAGGAGGAGGAACAAGAGCAACCAUCCACUUCAGAUGAUUCACAAUUUUUUCUUCAUUAGGAGUUUGGGUACGUAUAUUUCAGUUUUAGUAUAACUAAAUAAUUUUUUUUUUUUUUUGUAUUGUAAAUUUGUGAAACCUUUUUAGAUUAAUAUAAUAAAAUUAAUUAAUUUAAAUUAAAUACAUAAAAAAAUUUGGAUAAAUUACAUUUUACCUCCUCAACUUUGGGUUGCAUAACAAUCUCAUAUAUCAUCUUUUAAAUAUUGCUAUAUUAUACAUCAAUUCACAAAUUCGUUGCAAUAUCAUACAUCCGUCAACAUUUUUGUUAAUUUUUAUGUUAAAUACUGAUGUGGCAAACACAGGUCCGCUCCCUUACCUAACUAGGUUAUAAAAUUAAUUUAAUAUUGACAAUUAAAGAAUUUCUAGUUCUAAGUUAAAUUAAAAUUAACAAAUAAAUUGUUCUAAGUUAAAUUAAAAUUAACAAAUAAAUUGAUGGAUAUUUUAACGGAGGUUUAAGAUUUCAACAAAUUUGUAAGUUUACUUAAGACAUUGCAAUGUUUAAAAGAUAAAGUAUAACUUUGUUAUAAGACUCAAAGUUAAGGUGGUAACAUGUAAUUUACCCAAGAAUUUAAACAGUUUUCAAUCUGGAGAAACAACGAUUUCAUAUCUGUAGGUAGCUACUGGCUAAUUAUUAGAAAAACAGAAACCACAUUUGUAUCCUAAAGUACAUUUGACUGUGAGUAGAAACCAUAUUUGUAUCCUAAAGUACAAAUGUAGAAAACAUGGCCAUAAUUUCACAGGUAUCUGUCCCUAUAUAUUAAUUCCUUGCAGAUUCUGCGAUGGAAUUUGGGUCAAAAUUGCAGCCUACUGUGUCUUGAUACAUUUUUGGUUUUGGAUAAAUACUCUGUUUCCUGCCUUUUGCCAUUUUUGGGUCCUUUGUUUUCUCUGUUGCUGCUGGGACAGAGUCCAUUAGAUUUGCCCGUUUAUUUUCUUUGCUUUAGGUGUGAGAUGCAAUACAAUCUUGAUGAAAGGAAAUGUACAAGCUAGCGAGGCUAUCAGUAGUAGUAUGGACACUGGUGGAGGUUGGCAGCUGGCAUAUAUAUAUUCUGACCGAGCAGGCGAAGACGGGAAGAAGGAAGGAGGAGUUCAAAGAGUGUAUUUGCAUCAGGAUAGUGCACUUUGGUGUCAGCCUGCGUCGGUUGUUUCAAUUUCUGGUGUAAGACAAGAAAGGAAGCUCAUUCAUGCUGGUCUGGUUAGUCAGCCUGAUGUUUCAGAAACUUUCUUGUUUGUCAACCUUCUAUGUUGUCGGGUGCAUCGAUUCUUGGAUAUUUGUUUACUUGAAGGUGCCUGAAACUAAGGGCAUGCCUCUUGAAGUCAUCUCUGAGUUCUUUGCUGCAGGUGUAAACCCAGCUGCUGCUGAUGCAUCUGCGGAUUUCAAUGAAAAGUGAUUUGAUUGUUUAGAGGGUUUGAAAUUUGGUUUUAUUUUAGACUGGGAUUGUGAGGACAGGACUUGAGUUGGAGAAGUGCUUAUGACUAGAUUGCUUUUUUUGAAAGUGAUUUUCUAUCAUCACUGUCCCUCCCUUAAUGCUGCACAAGUAUAUUUGAUACCAUGCUUCCUAAUCAUAGACUCAUAAGGUAACAUGUUUUGUUCUACUAUUUGCACUUAUAAAUUUGAGAAAUCCCUUAGCUAAUCCCAAAUACUGAUUGAAGUUUAAAACAGUCUACUUAACCACCCUUGUAGUUCCAAAUGAUUUUUGUCAAUGUAUUUGGUGGCUACACUUAUAUUUUCCUAUCUAUUUAAUUUUAAGCAGAUAUAUAUUGUUGCACACACUCUUUCUUAUUAUUGUGAUCAUAUACCAAAUAACUCAAUAUAGAUCACCAAAUUCUGACUGAAGUAUGGUUUAAUUUUUUGUUAGAUAUGAAACUGAUCAAAAUCAAAUUGCACAUGCGUGACAUUUUAUUUAAAAAAUCUUGUGUCUAACAUUAAUUUGAUUUACAUACUGUCCUAUAAGAUCUUAUUUAACUCGUGACAAAUAAUAGUAUAUGACUCGCUAAUUUUUUUACAAAAGAGAAAUUCACUAAUUUUACAACGACCAAUAUAUAUGUACUUGAGUUUGAAUUUUCAUUCUUGCAACGUAGAUUAUUUUUAGAGUAAAUUGUACGAAUGGUCCCUCAACUUUAAUCAAAUUGGAGCAAUGGUCCCUCAACUAAAAAUCUAUUACCAUUGGUCCCUCAACUUAUCAAAAUUUAUAGCUAUAGUCAUUUUCAUCAAUUUUGUCAAAAUUUUGUCAAAAUAAGCUAUGUUGGAAUGACCAUUUAUAUAAUUAGGGUCCCUCAACUCAUCAAAGUGUAUAAUUAUGGUUUUUUUCGUCAACUAUGUCAAAAUUUUUGUCAAAACGAGUUAUAUUGGAAGGACCAUUGCUACAAUUGAGUUAAAGUUGAAGGACCAUUUCUCCACUUGAAUUAAAGUUCAGGGACCAAUGGUAAUGGAUUUUUAGUUGAGGGACCAUAGUUGCACAUUUUGAUAAGUUGAGGGACCAAAGGUAAUGAAUUUUUAGUUGAGGGACCAUUGCUCCAAUUGAGUUAAAGUUAAGGGACCAUAGCUACAAUUUACUCUUUUUUUUAUAAGUUAAAAAAGGAACUGUUUUUAACUGCAGCCUAAGCCGAGCCCAGUUGGCGUGUAGCACCAGCAAUAGGAAAGUCUGCUGAGAAAAGUCAGUCAUCGUCUUCACUAAAUUGAGUUAGAGGAAUUAGGGUUUUAGAUUUGAAAAGAUCCAAACUUUAUCAUUCUCUCCGAAAGUAAUCAGAGAAAUGGAAAGUCAAUCAAAGGACGGAGACUCGCUGGAGAAGCGGCCCGGCAUCUUCUUCCUCGACUCCCCCGGCGUCGGCAACCGCUCUCUCAUUACGCGUAAGCUCUCUCUCCUUUGACCGAUACUAAGCAUGAUCUGUUGAUUUGUUGGAUUACUGGGUUUGGAUUUUGGCGAUGCUUCUCAUUCUUCAUCGUCAUCUCAGCCGGUAGUCAAUGGGUAUGUAAAUUUUGAAUUUUGGGAUCAAAGAAUUCAAUUUUAGGAAUUUUGGGUACAAAGAAUACAACUUUUAGGAAUUUUGGGAACAAAGAAUUCGUUUUGAAUUCUUUUGAAACGUGAAUUUUGAUGAUUUUUGUGUUAAAAAAAUAGGUGGAAUAUCUCUACAAUGUACUACACAGCUGACGUUUCGGUAUGGAUGGCUCAUCUCCAUGACGAAUUUUCGAUUGAGUCCCUCCCAAUAUUUGACCAGUUGGCUGCCUUGAUCUUGGUUUUCGACACAACUGAGGUUUCGGUCUCUUGCCACUCACUCUUUGUCACUUUGUUUACUUAUUUAGCAUGAUUUUCGAAGUGUCUUGUAUCAAUUUGCCCGCAUUAUGCUGCAGUUGUCGUCUCUGUCUGCGCUUCAGAAAUGGGUAUCUCGAACUGAUCUUCAAAAGUUCGAUAUACUAGUGUGCAUAGGGAAUAAGGUUGAUCUUGUUCCGGGUCACCCGGUUCAUACCGAAUAUAGAAGACGACUGCAGAAGCUUGGAGACCCGUUUGCUGAUGACGGUCCAGGGUUCACUGUGUAUGGAAUCACCGAGGCUGAAGGAAGCAGUUUAUUGGGGGAUGACGAGUCAUCAUAGGAGGCCAGAGGCACAUGUUUGGAAUGGUGCACUGAGCAUAACAUUGAGUUCGUCGAAGCUUAUGCUGAUUUUAACAAAUGUAAGGCAGCCCUUCUUUCUGACUCGUAUUUUAUGGCAAGUUUUAUACGAAAGUGAAAGUUUGAAGCCGGAUGAGAUGUCAAGUUGUUACUAGGCAGCAGUUUAGGAGUGGUUAGGGGAAUGUGGUUUAGCCAAUUACAUAAAAACGUGGUCGUCACAACUAAAAAUUUCUCGGGAAUGUGGGAGAAUAAUAGGGUUUGGCCAAUUAGGCGUUUGACUAAUAUAUGUACCAAGAGUGGCUUGAGCGGCAGAUCAACUUAAUCAAUUGGCAUAACCACAUAAGCAGCACACAGGAUAAACUCAAUUGAACGAGUUGGUGCUCAGGCUCUUUUGUUCAUGAAGAAAUUUUUCAUUAUUGUGCCUGGAACAGAGGUGGGAUACCACAUAUUAUUAGAUAAGUGGAGAGAAGUUUUAUUUGUCUAAGUUUUUUUUUAAUUUUUGUUAACACAAAUAUCUCACUUGUUUAGUGACACGUGGUGUAUCACCAUGUGCUCUAGGUAUACUGAAAAAUCUCUCCACUCUAUCUCUGUCACCUCAUAGUUUAACUUUAAUUUUUAUGCUAACAUUACAAAACAUUAUUUUAAAAGUAUGAAGUGGCAGAGAUUCUAUGGAGACUAGGAAUAUAAGUUGCUUUUUAAGAUUUUUUAUUUGACCAAUGUGAUAUUUUGGUUAGGUAAGUAAUCGAAAGUGAACGUUCUUAGUUAUCUGAAAACAUUUUUCUGAUAGUUUUAGAAGCAGCCCAAGUGACCGAUUCGAUAUUUAGGUUAGGAGGUUAAUGAUUAUGUACAAGCGUCAUUUUCAAAAUCUAAAGCACUUAUAAACUAUCAUGAAGUAAACGUUCUUGAUAAUCUAAAGCACUUACAAAUUAUUAAGAAAAGGAUAUUCUUAGUUAUCUGAAAACAUUUUUUCUCAAUAAUUUUUAGAUGCAAUUUCGCAGUGUUGAGAUGUUAGCUUCGAAGGCACUCCAACUUGCAAAGAGUGCUCAACAAAGUUCAACAAAAGUAGAAACAAAAUCAAUUAAAAAUCCCAACUCACAAGUGAGAGCAAUGGUUAUGCUUCAAGGUCCAACCAUCAGACCUCUUUAAGGCCAUCUCCAACUGAUGGCUGGCCAAAGGGUUCGUUUUAGCCCUCUGCCCCUCCAAGAUUCUUUAAGAUAUUAAUAUUUUAAUGAAUAGUACAGGGUCAUAUUUGCCUCCGUUUCCAACUGAGGGCAAGAGAGCCAGAGGGCUCGUUUUAGCCAUGUCACAAAAAACCGUCUCCAACCGAGGGCUAAAGGGUCAUAGGGCCAAACAUAAUUUAUUAUUUAAAAACUACAACUUAAAUUCAACCCAUUUAAAAACCGUCUCCAUUUAAGUUUCAUGUUGUAUAAUUUUUAUGUUGGUUAAUGUUAUUUAAUGUUGUUUCAUAUUGUUUAAUGUGACUUAAUUUAAUUUAAUGUUGUAUAAUGGCUUAGGAAGUUAUAGGAAAAAAAUGGAAUUUUAAAAAAUAUGAAACAAAUUUUGUGAAAUAGAAGUUAUAGGAAAAAAUAGAAGUCAUAUGAAAAAUUUUGUAUAUAAAAAAUAAUAAUAAAACUGUAAAAAAAAAAAAUUCAAAUGCAACGGCUAGCUGUUGCAUUUGAAUUUUUUCUUAAGAAAUCCUGUCGGUUAUAAUCGACAGGAAUACAUGCUAUUAUUUAGUAUAAAUGUAUUACUGUCGGUUAUAACCGAUAGGAAUAACAAAACAUAAAAAAUAAAAAUAAAAAAGCCAGCCCCGGGAUGGCUGGCUGGCUGCAGCCCUCCAGCCUUCUAGCCCUCUCUGAUUCUGUGGGGCCCUCCCAGAUUCCAAAGCCCUCUGGCCUAGCCCUCGGUUGGAGACGGUUUUCGGGCUAUUUUCGACCCUCUGGCCUUCUAAACCCUUCGGUUGGAGAUGGCCUAAGUUAGGCUUCAAUUUUAUUUCAUUUCCCACUACAAAAUUUCCAAGCAUCUAUACGGCUAUACCCCAUUGACCCUUCGCCCGCUUUAUGCAAUCUAGAAAAAUCAUUUACAAACGAGAAAUUCUAAAGGAAUUCUUUCAAAACGGAACUUUUCAUGAACUCUCCGUCACAAAAAAGAAUUCAAUUUUGUGUCUCCUUCACAUGCAAGAAUUCAAUUUAUACCUAGCUGAUGUACAUCAUUGGAUAAAAUUCCAAAACUACGAGUGCUUUGGAUUCUGAACCUGACUAAUUACUGUAGACUAAGCGGUGAUGAGAUGGCAAAGUUGGAAAUAACUCGUUGAAUAAGGUUCAUUUCUGAUGAAAUGAAAAUUAAUUUUGUUGAUAACUGUAAUUAUUUAAUAUAUAUAUAUAUAUUACUGCAAGAACUUCUUCUGCGUUCUGAAUUGAAAAUUGUUCUUCCAAAACAAUGAAAUUCCGAAGUGGUUCUAAUAUACCUCCUAACAUCCAACAACGUUUUGGCUAAUUCCCAUCCGAGGGUAGUGUGAAGGGAUGCGAUAGGGAAUUGGGACCCUGACAUAGACUGAUAAUUGUAACGUGGGGAAUGGGGACAAUCUCCAACUCUUGAGAUAAAAGCCAAAUUUUUUAGCCCGAAAAAUUAUCAUUCUGGCUUAAAAUUUUAACUCGGGAUUAUUAAAAAAUGAACUUAGGCUAAUUUUGUUCUUAAAUUAAAUUUAAAAAAAAUAAAUAUGUAGACUAUCAUAAAUUAAUUUUAUGAACAUUUUAAUCUAAAAAUAUUUAAAUUCCGAUAAAUAUUGAAAAAUCACUAAAUCCAUAUGAAACUCAUGAAACACUAUGAAAGAAUAUGAAAAUCAUGAUAGAGAUGUAUAAACAUAAAAUUUGGAAAUGGGAAAAAAUGGUAGAAAUAAAAAUUGAAAGAAUUGUAGGAGAAAAUUGAGUUUUGUGUGGAUGUUUGAACAAAUACAUAGGUAUUUAUAGAGUUUUUGGAUGAAUUUUGAGUUAAAUAAUUUUUUUAAUUAUUUUAGUAGUUGGAUUUAAAUUUGGACCGUUAGAUCUUUUUUUUUUUACCAUUAGAUUUGAUUAUAUUUAAUCUUAGUCAUUCAAUUCAAUAAAUAUAUAAAUAUAAAAACAAAAAAAAAUAUAAAUUUGAAUCUAGGUCGUUGGAUCAACCAACGACCUAUUGAUCACGAUCGUCGGAUCAAAGUAGUAGUUGGGGCGCUUGGGAAAGGUGGCCUACAAGCCCACGUGGGUGGGGCCUUGUCUGUCUGAAGGGUCACACGUUCAGGCUAGUGGGUGGGGUGGGGGGGGAUUGGCGCACAGACGUUGGAUUUCACUCGUUUCGAUGAGGCCCACACCGAAUCUUGGGCUGAAUUUUGGGGGGAAUUUGGCUUGGGUUUGGCUUUUAGUUUUUAGCCCAAAGAUUCGGCUUGGGUUGGGUUUUGGGGGGGGGGAAUAGGGGAAAUUUGACAUUUAGCCCAUAGUUGGAGAGGGUCUAAGGGGACUUACACUGCAUACUCAGGCUCUUAAGGGUGCAUUUAUUAAACCAAACUAUUUUGGACUGAAUUAGCUUUAAAAAUUAAGUUGAACUGGCUUAGACUAGACUAAGCUGGACUGAUUUAGUGAAGUGUUUGGUAUUAUAUCGAACUAAAAAAGAGAAUAAUAAAAAAAAUAAUAAUAAAUCUUUUUCUUUUUUAUUCUUUUUCUUUCUAUUUUCUGGAACUCUAUCUAUUUUUCUUUUUCUUUUCUUUUUUUCUUUUUCUAGGGUUCUUUCUCUCUGUUUUUCUUUUUCGUUUUUUUCUUUCAGGCAAAACCUCAAACAGUUGAACUGCAAUACAAGCUACAAGCUGGGAAGAGCUUAAACACAACAAAAUCUUCCAUUACUCGUCACUUGGUACAAAACCCAUAUGCACUAAACACAUUCUUAAUCAUCUACUUGUAUAAUCCAUAAUUUUGCGAUUUGUUGUUUGAGAUUGUGAAAUGAGUACCUGACUUUCUUGAGGAGGACGGCCUUGAGCUUGCGAGCGAGGUCUUGAGAUCGGAGUUUCUGUUCGACAUUCUUGCGGGCCAAGAUGCGCUUCUCAGAGCUCUUGAGGUGGUGGGUUUGCUGCCGCUUUAUCAUCCGCUCGAUCCCACUCGACGUCAUCUUCCUCUGCAUAACCGUCAGCGCCCACUCCAGGUUCCCGUUCAUAACCUUCACCCGAAUCCCUCUCGAUUGCUCAUGUCGAUGACCCAGUGUUGGCGUCGCUGACUCCAUCCCCUGACUCGCCCGUUUCAACACGUUCCAUUGGUGGAUUGCGAAGUAGCGAAGGAGAAGAAGACGACGGAGAUGACCCAGCCGACGAGGUCAUCGUCGAAGAUGAAGCGACGACGAGUUCGUCGUCGGAGAUGAAGCCGCGCCCGAAGCUUGUGCCUUCGAAAUCGAGGUUGAUGAGGUGAUCUGAGCAGGAAGAAGAAGUUCUUAGCCAGUCCCAUGGUUUUGGGUGGGACAAGCUAAGACCGGCUAGUCGGUUCGCUAGUGAAGGCGAGUCUGGAUUAAUCCCAUUAAAACUAGUCCGGUCAGGAAACAAACAACAGACUACAAUCACAUUUAAUCUAGUCUAGUAUAGUGAAACCUAAUGAAGGCAAACAAACACUUCCUAAGUUUAUUUGGCUUUAGUAUAAAUUAUUUUCUCAUUUGUCAAAGAAAAAAUCACCUUAAAUGACUCACCUUUCUUCAGGUGUGCGACAUUAUUUAUAUGGUUCAAAACGACACAAACCGGAUAUAAAUAAUGUGGGGGUGUGGUCAAGAACAAAAUGCAUUAUUAGACUUUGGUGACUCAAAAAUCACCUAUUGUUGGUGAAACCAGAAUUUUCCUAACAUUUACUCACUGACGUUAUCGUUUUGUUAAAAAAAUAAAUAAAUAAAUCUGCACCUCCAUCCUUUUUUCGAUGCACUGCAUAUUCCUCUGCUUUUCUCUUGUAUUUUUUUUGUUACAAUACGUAAUAUUUUUGUUACAAUUUUGAAAGUCAAUUGUCAUGUUGCUGUGCAUUUUAACUUUUGAGUAUAUAAUACUUGAUGUAUUGUCAAUUAAUCAUCCGUAUAUUGUCAAUUAGUAUUUGAAACCUAUGGAUCCUUUAAUUUGGGCCGUACAAAUUAAAUGCAACAGUCUCCAUUAAUUCAUUUUUCUAGCCCAUGACACACGACCAAUGCCCUUGAUUUAACUUGCACACCAAUCAGCGGUCCAGAUUAAAUGAUUCAUAGACUCCGAACACUAAGAUCCAAAAUAAAUUCAAUUCUUAAAAAAUUAACCGCACGAUGAAAAAUAAAUGUAUCGAACUCGCACAAAGAGGAUCGCGAGAUGAUCCUCUUCCUAUCAUGUUGAUAUCCUGGAGCAAAAGGUAAUAGUCAACAAACGAAGUUGAUAGGAUAGGGGUACUGUGAUUGAUACAAGUGCAAAGACGACGAGGGAUGAAAGUAUCCUCUUCCUAUCAUGUUGAUAUCCUGGAGCAAAAGGUAAUAGUCAACAAACGAAGUUGAUAGGAUAGGGGUACUGUGAUUGAUACAAGUGCAAAGACGACGAGGGAUAAAGUGAUACUUUCGUGCUAGUUCCGAGGACAUUUUGGUAAUUAAGCCUUUAUAUUUACUACUUGAUUUGAUUUAUAAUUAGUACUAUUUUUUGGUGUCGUAUCAUUCUCUCUCUCAAACACUAAUUAUAAUUUGCAGAUCGUAGUUGAAAUGGGGUCCCUUUUUUCUUUAUAUGCAAUUGUAUUUCAUUACUUCUCUUGUCUUUUUCCUCAGCACUGAAAAAAAAAAAAAGGAAAAUUGUUUUCAUACAUCAUUUCUUAUUUUAUCACACUCUCUUGUUUUGUUGUAUUUAGAUUGAACAAUUGGAAAAAAAUAUAAUGGUUAAAAUUAACAUGAAUGAGCAAAGGACACACUCUCUCUUAUUUUAUCACACUCUCUUGUCCGAAAGGAAUCGUUUUAGCUUUUUCCGACUAAUAUAAGGGUGUGUUUGUUGCACCGGACUGUCUCGGACUGGACUAGCUUCAAGGACUAAGCUGGACUGGCUUAGACUAGACUAAGCUGGACUAACUUAGUGAAGUGUUUGUUGCAGUGUCGGACUAAGAAGUAGGAUAAUUAAAACAGUACUGUCACCAGAAGAUUGGGACUAAAAACAUAACAAAAUCUGGUGAGCAAUCGGCAGAAGAUUGGGACUAAAAACAUAACAAAAUCUGGUUCAAAGCACCACUACUGUGAUUUUAUGUAACGCUACCAUAACAGUAGCAGCUCUUGAAGCUCCAUUGUCAAAACCCGAAGAGAGCCACAGCCAGAAGCACUCGGUGACCGAGCGAAUUGACAAACCCUUACCUUAGAAAGCAAGCAGCCGCGACCACCGGUCUGCAAGCAUCUCUAGUCCUCGCUGACAUAGCGAAUUCAAAAAUAAGCGAAGAAUAAACAUUGUAUAACUGGAGCAGACAUUCGGUAGGGAUUCAGAUAAACUUUAUACAUAUUAAAGACGUCUUAGUUGCAUUCAAAUUAUUUGCCCAAUAGCAGAACAGUUUUACAUGUUCUCCUUCAUCUAAUAUAUAAGCACAUAACAAAUUUAAACAGUGGGGCAUUGACAAAGAUCGACUCCAUGCUACGGAACUUAAAUCCACUAGGAUAAAUCAUGAACAAAAUUAACACGAUCAUAGGUCAAACAAUACAUCAGUCGUGCAGUGUUCCCAGUAUAUCCUCAUCUCGAUAUAGAUGGUACCUAAAACAGCAAAAAAAUAAUAAUUAAUGAGCAUCUAAUCGGACAAAGGAAGUGAAUGGUAUAGACCAAAGCUUCCAGUCGCCAAAGCUCGAGUGAAAAGUUUCAAGUCGCGAAAGCUUGAUGAAUGGUAUAGACCACCUAUCAUAGAAUGAGAUUACUUUACACUGGUGAGGGAGGGCAACAGUGUAUAUAUUAGAAAAAUAACGUCGCCUUGAAACUUUUCACGGGAUAACACGGUGAUGGCUAAAACAACGUCGCCUUGGGGUUCACGGCAUAACAUUUUGUCUAAAAUUCACUGUUUAAGAAUGUAGUAGAAAAAUAAUCAAACAAGGUGUGAAAUUGCAUACUUUAAAUCAUAAGUACAAAAUCUGCAUGAAAAAUAUUAGAGGAUCCGGAAUCUGGUAGGUAGUAACUCAUCAAAGUUUAGUAAUUCACCUGGCCAAAUGGACUAAAUAGCUGCCUCAGUUCUUUCUCUGUGGCCUCAAAAGCUACAUUUUUCACAAGUAGUUUUGUCGAGCUUUUAUCAUUGUCAACCUUUUUAGGCACUUCAUCUUUCUUGGCAUGACAAAGUUGCAAAAUAAGAGCAUGCCCGUCCAAAAUAGUUCCCUAGAAAAUGGUAAAUAUUAAUUGCAAUGAAUUUCCACAAUUGUAUACUGAAUAUGCAGUAAUUUUCACCAGAUUCUGGCUUCACCUGUAAAUCCCGGCAAACAUUUGUGGCUGUCUCCACAGAAUCGAACUCCAGAAAACCAAAACCCAUUGAAACAUUCUUCCCAUUCUUCAAGUGUUUCUUUACCUGCAUAUAGAGCAAAGAGGAUAUAGACAAGAAAAUAUAUCAAGUAAAAGUAGCGCUUCUAGGCAGCUGAUUAUUACCUUAACACUUAAUAGUUUUCCCCCCUUCACGUGUCCACUAAAAUGCUUUUUCAAACUCUCGUCUGAUGUCGUAAAGCUCAGAUUCUUGACAUAUAGAGAUUGUGACUGGAGAAUGUUACACAACAAAGACAAAAUAAUUAUUAUAUUGGCUAGGCAAGACGUAACAGAACAAGGAAAAUGUAAAAGAAAACAAAAAUAAGCCACAGGUGUAAAAAUUAGUAGACAAGAAAUGGCAGCAUAAAUGUAAAUCUACAAGGAAACCCCCAAACGUUACCAUCUUUAAUCUCUAACAGAAUAAUCAACUAUGUUAGAAGCAACAGAGCAAACCUUGUUUUGCAACACAAAUGACUCUUACGACAUCGUUAUCAUCAAGGCAUAAUGACUAAUAAGUUCACGGUGAAUAUGAAACGGAGAAAACCUGAAAAAUGAAAAAAAAUACGGAUGUGCUUAGAUUGUUCAAUGAAAAAGAGAAGGAGAAUAGCACACCUUAUACACUGGAGCUGAUAUUAUGGACUCUGAUCCCAAUAAAGCAUCCAUAAUUUCUUUCUUUCAUUAAUGACAGUAAUAAGUCCAGAGCACUGUACGAACCUUCCAUAUGUGCAAGCUGUGGCCUACUUCCAUGCUUAGUAGUUUCUGUGGUUUUUACUCUAAUAAUGUAGGUUACAUUUUAAAAGGAGCAUGAGAGAGUCUUUAAGAGAGCAAGUGAAGAGAGAGAGAGAAGUUACAACUAGGGUAGUAAAAUAGUUGUUUCAAAUCUCAAGCUCUCCCUCUAUUCAACAGCUGGCUGCUUCUUGCACUCUCCUUUCACAAUAAUGCAGGGCACAAAGGACGCCAGGAAGCCCGAGCUUCUAAAGAUCCACACAACACAAAAAAUAAACUGAAUUCUAAUCUUGUGCAAACUCAUAAGGAUGCAUUUUGAUAUGAUGACGAGUAUCAAACAAAGGAUAUUGAUCCAGUUGUAAUCGACAAGAUAAAAGAUUACCAAUUUGUAUCCAAAUUAAGAUUUGAUGAUAAGGAAACACGAUUGAAGUUGAAGAAUGAUAUUGAUCUGUUGGAAUUAAUGCACUAAUGUUAAGACUCUAGACAUUCCCAAGAACAAUUCAUGCACUAUCCUAAAUGUUAAGACUCUAGACAUUUCCAAGAACAAUUAUUCUAGAUUCAUUGUUCCUAGCCUAUGUCUGUUAAGUUACCUAGGAAGAACUCUCUAGUACUUUGUAUUCACUACAUAUAUAGCCUUUGGCAUAUCAUUUUGUAUCAAGAGAGUUACAAUAAGAAGUAAUACAAGAGCUCUGCUGUAGCAACUCAGAUUUCCCAUAAACUUGUUAAGUAUUUCCAUCCCUCUACACUUCUUACACGAUCCACGCAUGAGUUUUGGUUGAAAUCCCAAUUCUGCAUACUGCAUGUACAAAGACACAUAUUUUCUAUUUCUACAGAAAAUUUAUCAACAUUAUUAGUUCAUUCCACCAUUUAAUUUCCAUAACUUUCUGUGCAACUAAACACAAAAUAAACAUGACAGAAAAAACAUACAGAUUAAGAAGCAAACUUACUCGAAUUGAUAGGCAUAAUCGACGAGGUUGAUGCUGGGAAAAACAACAGGGCCUCUCGAAGGACAUGCAUGGAACGAUUUUCUCAGAGGAAGACGAUUGUUCUCUGCAGGAUCAAACAUUCUCCUAAAACAAUAUGACUGAUUUGUGGAUCAAAUUAAAACCCAAAAAUCAAUCAAAACCCAGAAAUCCAAGAAAUAAAUCAGAAUGCAGAAAUCCCAGAAGUAAAUCAAAACCCAUAAUCGAUUAAACCCAGAAAUCGAUCAAAACCAGAAAUCGUUCAAAACCCACUAAUAAUUUCACGAAUCUUCAAAACAAAAUCGAAGAAAAUGAAGAAGAUGAAGUGGAAGAGGAAGCUCUGAGAGGCUUAUGCGGAUGCGGUGUUGGUCGAGGAAUGGUCCGGCAAGGCUAUGGAGCAAAGCGGGAUGACGAGAGAGAUGACGGUCUUACUAGUCCGCUAGAAUUCGAGGGGUCUCGCUAAGACGAUCUAGCGAGCCCCUUAGUCGAGGCGAGUGAAGGGUAAUCCCACUAAAGCUAGUCCGCUUGUGUAACAAACAUAGGAUUGUCCUAAUUUCUAAUCUAGUCUAGUCCAAUGAAACCUAGUGAAGGUAAACAAACACACCCUAAAAGUCCUAACAAAGACCGACAAUAGUAACGUGGGGCUGGGAUAAAAAGUUGUGUCAAAAUCACACCUUUUUUAUUUCUUUUUAACAGGAGUACCAUUUGUUAGCAUGCUGGAUGAGAGAAGAGACUACGAAUCAACGUCAACUAAUAUGGUGGGUUUCUAAAUUGUUCCAUUGACCAUCCCAUACCAAAUUGUAUAUCUGCUUUUUGUUUGUUAUUGUUACAAUUUUUUCUUUUCAUCCAUCUGUAUUGCUGUUAUCUUUGAGUCAAAAUGAGGUGUACAAUUCAGCCGGCAUAUAGGAGAAACGAAAAACUUGUACUUUGUAUAUCACCUCCAAUCCAUUGUUCAUGAUAUCUCCGUACGUGUGUCCUUUGUACCACUUGUAAUAGAAUUUGUUUCCAUUCAAAGGGAAUCUAGAAUCUUAUGCUCACUUCAUUGUUGCUAAUAUAGUAAAAAUUAUUCGGAAUCUGACUUUCGAUGUGAUCUGGGUACUGUAAGUCUUGACUUUAUCAAUAGGAUGGAGCAUCUUGACCUAAUCUUCUGACUCAGAGCUUAUGAAUAUUCCCCUGCUCCCAAAAUCCAGGUAGAUGCUUAAUUCUUACUUAAUACUUAAUAGGUUGUUGAUUCUGCUUCCAAUUCCUUUCCCACAGAUUCUAUCUGAAUAGAAGACCCCUAAUUAUGCGUUCCAAAUAGUGAAUAGAUGCUUAAUUAUGCUUUAGUUACUGUUUAGGUAAAAACAGUUGCGGAUUAAAGUGAUGAUGCAGGGUAUUUAGUAUUUACUGAACGGUGGUAAAGUUUUAUAUGUGGAUAGCUUUGGUUAUUUUCAGAAGUUGCUGCGUAAAAUUAUUAAUUUGGCUACACCAAAUCUUUUGUCGUAUGGAUCGUUAUAGUUUCGGCCAUCGUUUAUUGGAGCUUUGAUCGUCCAUGGUCUUAUGACUUUAUGGAGACCUCUGUUCUUGGUGGAAAAUGUUCAGAGUUACACACAACCAUAUGGUUUAAUUAUGAUAAGUGUGGACGACGUGACACGCGCUAUAACCUGAGUGAUGGGUAACACCAGGGCCGUGUGACAGUUACACCGAAAUUUUUUUAUUCUUAAUUCUCCAGUUCCAACUAUGAUCUUAUCAUCACCAGCUGAUUCAGCACCAUCACAUGCCUCUCCUAGCUUCUUUGCAACUCAUCCUUCAUGGGUUGAAUUGAAAAAUAAAAACCCUAGCUUCCAAGAAGGUACAUUCAAGACCUCCCCCAUUCCUGGGACCCUGACUUCCGUGAGACCGACCCUACCAGCAAGGAAAAAGACCGGUGACGGUGGUGGCCCAGAAGAUUUCCGGCGGUUGGCAGUUCGGACAACAACAACAACAAAGCCUUUUCCCACUAAGUGGGGUUGGCAGUUCGGACAAAAAAAAAAUUUACAAAAUCUGGCCUUUGUCAAAUUUACAGGAGGACCCCUGGAUGAGCUGGUGAGGCAUGCAUGCUGGGGUGUUGAGAAAUAGGGAACAAUCGCUCGAAGGAUGAGAUUAUCCUGUGCCCAAACUAAGCAUAUGCGAGGGGCUAUUAAAUUCGAUUUGAGUUUUUGGCCAGCAUUUGGCUCUUUGCCCAUGUGAAAACGUUUGAUCAAUUGGGGAUUGGAAAAAACAUAUCAUUGAUGUGCUGAUCUGUUGGGACUUGGAGCAAAAAAGACCACCCCUAUCCAAGAUAUUUUCUUCAACUUUACACUUAAACGUUUUGGAAAAACAAGGGGAAAGAGCAAGAUCGAUUAAAUUGCCACAAGAUGUAUUAUUAUUUGAUGUGAUUAUUGGUUUGUAUAAUUUACAAGGUGGUAUGGAUCAUGCUAGAAACAAUCGUUCACUCCAUAUGAAAUUUGGAAAAUCUUUUAUCAGUUUGAUUAGAUAUGGAAACACAAUCAGACACAUACUUGGUCACUAAAUUUGAGAAAUUUGAGAUGAUUCAACAAUUUAGUACGACAUUUUGAUAAUUUGGAGUGGGCUGGAGUACACUGUGAGUCCGUGAUUGUCCUUACUAGUCCACUAUAGUCAACCCUUGAGUCAAUAUCUGUCUAUAAUGGAAUUAAUAGUGGGCAAUCACUCACGAGUAACAUGCACUAGAAUAGCUCGUAGUCUUAAAAGGGGCAUUGGUUAGUCGAAAGACAUAACAAAGUGAAACACCCCUUUCAUUAGUUUCAUUAGUGAAGUUGCUUACUUAUCACAUAAACGACUGUUCUUAGCAUUCUUAUCUUUUACAUUGACUUAUCAUCAUCAUUAUCAUAUGAUUGUAAGAGGGGGAAUUUAAUGGGUAGGUUUUUCCACUAACUUGGAAUUUGUAUGGCUGAGGUUCCCAAAAUUAAUCUUAUGGUUAUGAUUGAGGCACUUGAGGGACUCAUCAUGUUCUUGAAUCAUCCACAAAACAAAAAGUAGUGGAUGUGGCUGGAUAAGGUUCUCUUCGGAUCUUGUUUGUGAGGAUUCUGAAAAUCAUUUCAUCGUAUUUGUUCAUUGUAUAUUAUGCAAUCAAUUUUCGUGAAGUACUAUUUGUAUUUAAUUUUAAAUAAAAUAAUUCAAAAUAAUUGAUAACCACAAGAUGACAAAUAAACGGACAUGAUAAAGUGAUUUUCAAUGUUGAGAGGAUUCGGAUAUGAUCUUAUUCCGACGUGUCCCCAUCCAAUACAUUUGACUUAAAAAUGUUAUAGUAUUAUUUGGGUGGCUUUUCUUCACCUGAGAAGAUGUAAACUUUUCUUGCCUUCGUGGCUAACUCUGUUCAUUUGUUCGGUAACUGUCAAUGUUGUUGGAGCACGAAAAUCAAUCAUGAAAAUUAAAUAUGUAAAGGAUAAUCUUUUUAUAUAAAUAAUCAGCAAACUUUGUCAUUGCCUACGUGUAUUUACCUUCAAAGAACAUAGCAAUAGUGAGAUUAGAGAAUAAAUAAUAGAAUUAUGAAUUUCUUGAUCACCAAAUGAGUUAGAGAAUGUAAAAUAAGAAGUUAAUUACAAUCAAUUGAUUAUAAAAUACGAGGACGUAUUGAAAAUGGUGAAUUGCGCGGUGGUUAAGGCAUUUUUCUUCAAUUCAUUGUGCAUUAUAUCAUAUUCUCUCAUAUUAAGGUAAAUUAGUGUAGAAUAUCGCUUGUACUUUAAAAAAAUAUUAAACUAUGUUUGGAUAAGGGAUUUACAGUAAAUUAAUUAUAAAUUCACUAGACUAAUUGAUCAUGCAAAAAUAACUUACCUAAUUUUUUGUUAAAAGAAAUUAUUUAAUUAACAACGAGGGAGACUUGAACUCGAAUGCAAUAAGACGACAACAGUGCCUUGGCCGAUAGACCAAACUCACAACAAUAAUAACCCAAAGAAGGAGUUUGAACAAGAACUCACAUGUCUAACAUCAUUGUCCGGCGACCGGAAUUGUGCCUCAUGGUGUGCUAUUAGUACACAUAACAUGAUGACUAGCAGGUGAACAAAACGACAACGUCUAGAGAUUAUGGCUAGGAUUGGGCCUGUAACACUGAUGUAUGGAAGUAUGCUUAGAGACAUGUUGGUCUAGAUCUUGUAGUUUUGAGACCAUAGCGAC
Molecule: long non-coding RNA, 44607 nt
Filed under: Malus domestica (apple)
Lineage: Eukaryota; Viridiplantae; Streptophyta; Magnoliopsida; Rosales; Rosaceae
Description: long non-coding RNA (MDOM_LNC001465)
Source: RNAcentral